AGAAAUCAGCGGAUCUUUUCCGGCUUAUUUGCCAGCACCGUCGCUUAUCGUUCCUAACUACCUCCCGUCCCGUGAAAGAAAAAUAAAAAACACCUCCCGUAAUCCCAAUCCCUCCCCUCGUCUCCCCGUCGCACGCGACCUCAGAGGCGAUGCGACGGUGUUAGGGUUUGUGCCGCCGCCCCGUCCGCUCCCCCUCCGUUGCCGGCCACAGGCAAUAUCACGCCGCCGCCUGAUUUCUUAUCUCCCUCGCCCCCCAGCCCCCUACUCACACACCCUCCACGCCUCCUCCGCGACCCCUCGGCGACGGCGGCCGGAGGCCACAUCUGCUUCUUCCCGACGACCUCCGGAAGCUGCCCGCCAGCCGUCNNNNNNNNNNNNNNNNNNNNNNNNNNNNNNNNNNNNNNNNNNNNNNNNNNNNNNNNNNNNNNNNNNNNNNNNNNNNNNNNNNNNNNNNNNNNNNNNNNNNCCGCCGGUGCCGACGAGUGGCCGUGCGCGCUGCGACGAGAUCGAGCGCCGCCGUCGCCUCCUCCCCGACGACAUGUACUACGACGACAGGUACGCCGCCGACUCCACCCUCUGGGACACGUGGCUCAGGGACGAGCACGACGUGCGGCGCGCCUCCUACUUCGUCGGCACGGUUUUGGGGCCGCGGUGACCACGGGAGGUGCGCGGGCGUACACGGGUGCGCGGCCUCACGCCCACGCCGUCGCCUUCCCGUCUCCGUCACCACCUCCACCUCCUCGCAUGACAGCGCAGGAGGAAGCUCGGCUCAUGCAGCGUGUCAUGGAAGACUCCAUGAUGACGCAUGAUGAACGCCAAUGGCUGGGCCUAGAGGACGCGAUGACCCUCUCUGCGGCCGGUGACAUCGCCAUCCCCGAGAUGGUGAAGGAGGAGGAAGUGCUGGAGGAUGCCCAGGUGGCCGCGUUCCCUCCUGAUCUGAUGGACCAGCAGUGGAGCUGGUCGUGCACGGCGCCGGAGAUGGCGCAGGUAGUGGGGGCGUGAACUGGUGCUCCACGCCGCCGCGGUCACCAGAGCGGGACGCCUCGCCACGGGAGGAGGUGCUGCAGGCACCUGCCAGCUUCCAGCCUGCCCCCGCGCAGCACGGACCGCCGNNNNNNNNNNNNNNNNNNNNNNNNNNNNNNNNNNNNNNNNNNNNNNNNNNNNNNNNNNNNNNNNNNNNNNNNNNNNNNNNNNNNNNNNNNNNNNNNNNNNUCUGUCGACCCUGAGUUAAUCACUCUGGUCAAAUCUGAUCCUUUUCACGGUUAUGAGUCUGAAACGGUUGUAGCCCAUCUUACCAAAUGAUAACCCACAAGUAUAGGGGAUCACAAAAGUUUUCGAGGGUAGAGUAUUCAACCCAAAUUUAUUGAUUCGACUCAAGGGGAAGCCAAAGAAUAUUCUCAAGUAUUAGCAGUUGAGUUGUCAAUUCAACCACACCUGAAAGAUUUAGUAUCUGCAGCAAAGUAUCAAUAGCAAAGUAGGGUGAUAGCAGCAGUAGCAACGGUAACCAGUAGCAGCAGAGUAACAGCAGGAGCAACAGAGUAACAGUAGCAGCAGUGACAGCAGUAGCAGCAAAGUACCGUAGCAAGGACCAGUAGUAAAAGACUCGUAGGCAUUGGAUCAGUGAUGGAUGAUUAUGCCGGAUGCUAUUCAUCAUGUAACAGUUAUAACACGAAGAGAUAAGUAACUAGCUCCCGUUCGUCAAUCUAAUGUAGGCAUGUAUUCCGUAUGUAGUCAUACGUGCUUAGGGAAAAGAACUUGCAUGACAUCUAUUGUCCAUCCCUCCCGUGGCAGCGGGGUCCUAAUGGAAACUACAGGAUAUUAAGGUUCUCCUUUUAAUAAAGAACCGGACCAACGCAUUAACACUUGGUGAAAACAUGAACUCCUCAUACUAUGGUCAUCUCCGGGAGUGGUUCCGGCUAUUGUCACUCCGGGGUUGCCGGGUCAUAACACAUAGUAGGUGACUACAACUUGCAAGAUAGGAUCUAAAACACACAUAUAUUGGCGACAACAUAAUAGGUUCAGAUCUGAAAUCAUGGCACUCGGGCCCUAGUGACAAGCAUUAAGCAUGGCAAAGUAGUAGCAACAUCAAUCUCAGAACAUAGUGGAUACUAGGGAUCAAUCCCCGUCAAAACUAACUCGAUUACAUGAUAGAUCUCAUCCAACCCAUCACCAUCCAGCAAGCCUACGAUGAGAUUACUCACGAACGGUGAAGAGCAUCAUGGAAUUGGCAAUGAAGGAAGGUUGGUGAUGACGAUGGCGACGAUCUCCCCUCUCCGGAGCCCAGAACGGACUCCAGAUCUGCCCUCGAGAUGAAGAACACGAGGUGGCAGCACCUCUGUAUCGUAAAACGCGAUGAAAUCUUCUUCUUGAUUUUUUUCCGGGCGAGACAGACUAAAUUGAGCUGGAUUUGGAGGCAGUGGAGCGUCGUGGGCUCCACAAGCCUGCUACUAUCCCGCAGACAAUAGCGCCAGAAGUUGACACGUUGACAGAGGCUGGGCUUGCGUUGGUUCUUCCCUUGAAGAGGAAAGGGUGAUGCAGCACAGGAGCAGUAAGUAUUUCCCUUAGUUUGAGAACCAAGGUAUCGAUCGAGAAGGAGGGCCUCGUCAAGUCGAGAGUACCUGCGCAAACACAAACAAGCUUGCACCCAACGCUUCAAAGGGGUUGUCAAUCCCUUCAAGAUUGUUUGCAAAGUGUGAUCUGAAGGCGGAAAGUGCAACGAAGUAAAAAGUGUAAGGCUGAAAAGAUGGUGUGGAGUAGACCGUGGGGGCCAUAGUGUUCAUUAGAGGCUUCUCUCAAAAUAGCAAGUAUCAUGGUGGGUAAACAAAUUACCGUCGAGCAAUUGAUAGAACCGCGCAAAGUCAUGACGAUAUCUAAGGCAAUGAUCAUGCAUAUAGGCAUCACGUCCGAGACAAGUAGACCGAUACUUUCUUCAUCUACUACUAUUACUCCACACAUCGACCGCUAUCCAGCAUGCAUCUAGUGUAUUGAGUUCAUGACGAACAGAGUAACGCUUUAAGCAAGAUGACAUGAUGUAGAGGGAUAAUCUCAAACCAAUGAUGAAAACCCCAUCUUUUUACCCUUGAUGGCAACAACAUGAUGCGUGCCUCGCUACCCCUUCUGUCACUGGGUGAGGUCACUACACGGUAUGAACCCAAAACUAAGCACUUCUCCCAUUGCAAGAAUCAUAGAUCUAGUUGGCCAAACAAAACUCACAACUCGAAGAGAAUUACAAGGAUAUGAAAUCAUGCAUAAGAGAGAUCAGAAGAAACUCAAAUAAGAUUCAUAGAUAAUCUGAUCAUAAAUCCACAAUUCAUCGGAUCUCGACAAACACACCGCAAAAGAAGAUUACAUCGGAUAGAUCUCCAUGAAGAUCAUGGAGAACUUUGUAUUGAAGAUCCAAGAGAGAGAAGAAGCCAUCUAGCUACUAGCUAUGGACCAGUAGGUCUAUGGUGAACUACUCACGCAUCAUCGGAGAGGUCAUGGUGUUGAUGAAGAAGCCCUCCGUAUCCAAAUCCCCCUCCGGUAGGGCACCAGGACGUGCCCCAUAUGGGAUCUUGCGGAGACACAAGCUUGCGGCGGCGGAAAAGCGAUUGCGAUGAUCUCUUGAUUUUUUUCUGGAAUUUAUGGGAUUAUAUAGGCGAAAGAUCUAGGCCAGGGGACCUCCAGGGGGCCCACAAGCCUGGAUGGCGCGACCCCCCUGGCCGCGGGGUGGGGCUUGUGGGGCCCCUAGAGCUCCUUUGGCUUGGCUACCAAGUUCCCCGAUCUUCUUCCGUUCCAAAAAAACUUUUCGGGGAUUUUCUUCCGUUUGGACUCCGUUUCAAAAUCUCCUCUGAAAGGGGUCAAAAACAUGGAAAAAACAGGAACUGGCACUUGGCACUGAGUAAAUAAGUUAGUCCCAAAAAAUAAAUAAAAGGCAUGCAAAACAUCCAAAAAUUGGCAACAUAAUAGCAUGAAACCAUAAAAAAUUAUAGAUACGUUGGAGACGUAUCACCUGCGUGGCACGACCAGGGGGGCCCGCGCCUGGUGGGCUUGUGGGCUCCACGCUCCACAUCCUCUGCUGAUUCUUGCGCGAGUAUUUUUCAUAAAUUCCAGAAAAAUUCUCCGUAAAUUUUCAGGUCAUUCCAAGAAAUUUUAUUUUUGCGCAAAAACAACACCAUGGCAAUUGUGCUGAAAACAGCGUUAGUCCGGGUUAGUUCCAUUCAAAUCAUGCAAAUUAGAGUCCAAAACAAGGGCAAAAGAGUUCAGAAAAGUAGAUACGACGGAGACGUAUCAACUCCCCCAAGCUUAAAGCCUUGCUUGUCCUCAAGCAAUUCAGUUGACAAACUGAAAGAGACAAAAGAAAAACUUUGAUGAACUCUGUUUGAUCUUGUUGUUGCAACUAUGUCUAACUCAUAACCAGAAUUUCAGCAAGAUCACAAGCUAACCACAUAAGCAAAUUACAUCUAGGUCUCACGGUAAACUCAUAUCAAUGGCAUAAUCAACUAGCGAGCAAAUACUAAUAAGUCUCAGACGUUAACACUUCAAUCAAAACAACAUGAAGCAGUACGAACAGAUGGUAUCUCGCUAGCUCUUUCUGAGACCGCAAAACAUAAAUGCAGAGCACCUUCAAGGACCAAGGGCUGACUAAACAUUGUAAUUCAUGGCAAAAAAGAUCCAGUCACAUUCAUACUCAACACGGUUAAAAGCAAAGCAUAAAAAUGACAGAGGUGCUCUCUAAUUGGUGCUUUUAUAAGAGGAGGAUGACUCAACAAGAACAUAAAUAGACAGGCCCUUCGAAGAGGGAAGCAUUGAUUUGCAGAGGUGCCAGAGCUCAAGCUUUGGAAACAGAGAUAAUAAUUUUGGGUGGCAUGCUUUCAUUGUCAACGCAGUGACUAAGAGUUCUCAACAUCUUCCAUGCUACACAUGCUAUAGGCGGUUCCCAAACUGAAAAGUAAAGUUUUGACUCCCCCACCACCGAUCAAUCACACUCAACGACUAGCCGAAUCCUCGGGUGUCGUCCAUACCAACAUCAAUCCAGGGGGAGUUUUGUUUGCAAUUAUCUUUUCGAUUUGAGCAUGGAACUGGGAAUUCCAAUUAACGGCCCCUUUCUCGUGAAUGAUAGUGAAUAAACACAUAUCGAGGAUAACACGCCUAGCAUGGAAGAUACUGAUAUCCCCGUGUCACCACAUGAGCGGUUCGGGCAUGCAAAACAAAUUAGUUCUUGAAGGUUUAGAGAGUGGCAUAUGCAAACUUACUUGGAACGGCAGGUUGAUACCGCAUAUAGGUAGGUAUGGUGGACUCAUAUGGAACAACUUUGGGUUUAUGGAAGUGGAUGCACAAGCAGUAUUCCCGCUUAGUGCAAGUGAAGGCUAGCAAAAUACUGGGAAGCGACCAACUAGAGAGCGACAACAGUCAUCAAAAUGCAUUGAUAUUAACUAACAUUGAGUGCAAGCAUGAGUAGGACAUAAAUCACCAUGAACAUGAAUAUCAUAGAGGCAAUGUUGAUUUGCUUCAACUACAUGCGUGAACAUGCGCCAAGUCAAACCACUUGAAUCAUUCAAAGGAGGAUACCAUCCUAUCAUACUACAUCAUAGUCAUCUAAAGAUUCAUGUGGGCAUCCAAGACAGACCAUUAUAAGCUCCUAGCUAAGUAAGCAUGGCAUCAACAAGUGUGAUCUCUAAGUUGUCAUUGCAAACAUGUUUAUCUCACAACAAAGCUGAAUCAGGCACGAUGAGCUUAGUCAUAUUUACAAAAAAAAAAAAGAUCGAGUUCAUACCAGCUUUUCCAGGCUCAGUCACUUCAUCAUAUAUCGUCAUUAUUGCCUUUCACUUGCACGACCGAAUGAUGUGAACAAUAAUAAGCGUGCUCGUGCAUUGGACUAAGCUGGAAUCUGCAGGCAAACACAAAGGAGAAGACAAAGUAAUAUGGCUCUUUAACAGAUAAACAGAUAUGCAUGCGAGAGCCACUAAACACUGUAACCAUGGUCUUCUACCUUGACCCAAAGAAAAAGAAAACUGUUUACACGGGAAAGCUCCCAACAAGCAAAAGAAUAAAAAGAAAGUCUUUUUGGGUUUUCUCAAACUAGACAGACACACGAAAAUAAAACGAGAAAAAGAAAAUAAACUAGCAUGGAUGAUACAUUGGCAAAGUGUGAACACCGACAAACAAAGUGAAAGCAUAAGCAAGAAUGUAAAGUCGGUGAGAAACACGUACUCCCCCAAGCUUAGGCUUUUGGCCUAAGUUGGUCUACUCCCAUGGAGGGAAAUAACCAGCUCCGGGGUACUCCGGAGUGGACUGAGGAUGCCACUGCUGUGUGAGCUCCUCUGGCUCCCACUGAUAAACUGGCGUCUGGUACUCGACUCGUGGCUCGGGCACGGGCACGUGUGGUUGGGCCAAGCCCAAUAUGCGUAGAUGUCCGAGGGCAUAAUAAUGUACCUCCUGCAUGGAGAUUGAACAAAAAAGGAGCAGGCAAAGUAAUAGUCUCACGAGUACCCUGACUAAAUACCAGGUUAUAAAUCAUCCUUCUAUUUAUAUCUCUAUCAAGAAAGUCAUGGAGAACCAUGCUAUCGUAAUCUAGAUAUCUCUCGGAAAGAAGAAUCUCUUCUUCCUCGUCCAGUCUAAUAGGUAUCUCAAAGUGUCUAGCAAGACGAGUAGCAUAGAUACCUCCAUAGACAAUGCCUUUAGAAGGGUUUGUGUUCAACCGUAAAAUGUAUGCUAGCAGCUCUAGCGCAAGACACUCCUCUCUCCUCUCCUACAACAAUAGUAUCGAUGAAAGGCUCCAAGUCCCAUGGACGAGGUUCAUGAAUAUCCCCAACAUAAGGUAAUUUGCAAACAUUGCAAAAAUCCUGAAGUGACAUGCGCUGGGGGAUAUCAUAUAACUUGAACUCAACCAUAGGAGGACUCUUCCUUGGAUAGAAAUUAAAGCUUUGUACGAAGAUAUUAGUGAGGAGGAGGUAUUGCAAACACUUAUCUUCAACGAGGGCGGUAAGGCCCGCGUUCUCCACCAAGUAAUAAAAGUCCUCAUAAAGUCCGGCGGCACGUAAGAACACCUCGCUUGGCCACUCGCACGCUCGAACUUCUGCAACUCGAGGGACCGGAUACUUGGGCUUCCUCUCACUUCCAUCAUCCUUGGGGUCACGGCUUGAAGAGCCUCUUAGGAACCUCCUCAUCUUUUCUCUUUUCUAUCUCUGAAAAUUUCUGAAAUUUUUAGUGAUUCUAAGGAAAAGUGAACAAGGCCCAACGAAACUCAUAGCAACUACUCCAACAAGUGCCUAGAGGCCAUAUUACGCAUCAAAACUACUUGGGACCAACUAAAAUUAGCAUGCAAGGCUCAAGAACAUGGUCACCAAGGCAGCAAAAAUACGCAAAGUAUAAGGCACUAGAGCAAAAACUAAUUGGACCAAUGGAGGAGUCACUUACCAAGGAGUUAUUUCCCCAAAACAGUUCGGAGAAUGGUGCUUUGAGUAAGGAGAUAAAAAAUGCAGCAAGAUGAGCAAGAACACGGGUUUGAGCUGCGAAAUGAUUUUUUUUAGGUAGGAGAAGCAGAUGAGAGCUGGAAUAAGUGGAGGGGGGUCACGUGGGGCCCACAAGUCUGCUAGGCAUGGCCAGGGGGGUGCCCGCACCUCCUGAGCUUUUGGUCCACUGGUGCAUCCCCCUGACUAGCUCUCUAUCUUAGAAUUUUCCAAAAAUUCUAGAAAAAAUCAUACUUGAUUUUCAGGAUGUUCGGAGAACUUUUAUUUUCGAGCCACUUUUCUAAGGGACGCAAAAAAUAGAAAACAGGAAAAACUAAAGCUAAAUUUAUCAUUUUUCUUCUAAACAACAAAAAGUAAAAGUUGGGAGCAGAAGGUUGUGACUCCUAGAUUCAUCCAUCUCAUGGUCAUCAAAAGAAAUCCGUCAAUGAGGUUGAUCAAGUCUCCUUAACAAAUUUUUUCGAAUAACAUGAAACCAGAGAAUUUUUGAAUAAUCACUAGGUUACCUCAACGGGGAUGUGCAUAUCCCCAACAAGUAAAUCAUACUUCAUCUUGACAGUAGGUAUAGGGCAUUCAAAGCUUCCAAUGAGAAUUGAUCAAGUUUUUUCAAUAGCAUUGAUGCAAUGUACUCGAUAUUGUUUCUUCGGAAAGUGCACCGUGUGCUCAUUACUGAUACGUCUCCGUCGUAUCUAUAAUUUUUGAUUGUUUCAUGCCAAUAUUCUACAACUUUCAUGUACUUUUGGCAACUUUUUAUACUAUUUUUGGGACUAACAUAUUGAUCCAAUGCCGAGUGCCAGUUCCUGUUUGUUGCAUGUUUUUUGUUUUGCGGAUUAUCCUUACCAAACGAAGUCCAAAUGCAAUAAAAAACCAACGGGGAUUUUUUUGGAAUAUUUAUGAUUUUUGGAAAGAAGAAUCUACACGAAACGAUGCCCGAGGGGGCCACAAGCCUAGGAGGCGCGCCCCCGUAGGGCGCGGCUGGCAGGCUUGUGACCAAUCCCUAAGGCGGUUGGGGCCCUUCUUUCACCGCAAGAAAGAUAAUAUCCGGAAGAAAAUCUUAUUAAACUGUCAGCCCAAUUAGAGUUACAGAUCUCUUGGAAUUUAAGAAACGGUGAAAGGCAGAAUCUUGGAGCGCAGAAACACAAGGACACACACAGAGAGAGAUCCAAUCUCGGCAGAGGGGAAACCCUUCUCCCAUAUAGGGAGGAGUUCAAGGAAUAAAAAGAAGAAGGGGAGCUCUCUCCCCCUCUCUCUCGGCGGCGCCGGAACACCGUCCGGGACAUCAUCGUGUGACGGCGAUCUACACCAGCACCUCCGUCAUAUUCACCAACACCUCCAUCACCUUCCCCCAUCUAUAUUCAGCGGUCCACUCUCCCGCAACCCGCUGUACCCUCUACUUGAACAUGGUGCUUUAUGCUUCAUAUUAUUAUCCAAUGAUGUGUUGCCAUCCUAUGAUGUUUGAGUAGAUUUUCAUUGUCCUAUCGGUGAUUGAUGAAUUGCUAUGAUUGGUUUAAUUUGCUUGUGGUUAUGUUGUUGUCCUUUGUGCCCAUCAUAUGAGCGCAUGCGUGGAUCACACCAUAGGGUUAGUAGUAUGUUGAUAGGACUAUGUAUUGGAGGGCAAGGGUGACAGAAUCUUCAGCCUAGCAUAGAAAUUGAUGCAUAUGGGAUUGAAGGGGGACCAAUAUAUCUUAUUGCUAUGGUUGGGUUUUACCUUAAUGAACGUUAGUAGUUGCGGAUGCUUGCUAAUAGUUCCAAUCAUAAGUGCAUAGAAUUCCAAGUAAGGCAUGACAUGCUAGCAGUGGCCUCUCCCACAUAAAACUCGCUAUCGGUCUAGUAACAUAGUCAAUUGCUUAGGGAAAAUUCCGCAACUCCUACCACCACUUUUCCACACUCGUCAAACUAACGUAAUUGUUUCUUUAUCUAACCAGCCCCUAGUUUUUAUUUACGUGUUCUUUCUUUUCUUGCAAGCCUAUCCUUUCACACCUACAAAGUACUUCUAGUUUCAUACUUGUUCUAGGUAAAAGCGAACGUAAAGUGUGCGUAGAGUUGUAUCGGUGGUCGAUAAAACUUGAGGGAAUAUUUGUCCUACCUUUAGCUCCUCGUUGGGUUCGACACUCUUACUUAUCGAGAAAGUAUACAAUUGAUCCCCUAUACUUGUGGGUUAUCAAGACCUUUUUCUGGCGCCGUUGCCGGGGAGCAAUAGCGUGGGGUGAAUAUUCUCGUGUGUGCUUGUUUGCUUUAUCACUAAGUAGAUUUAUUUGUUGUUCUAAGUUGUUCUCUAUCUUUAGUUAUGGAUAUGGAACACGAAAUACCAAAAAAAAAAAGGUGUACUUGCUACUCAUGGAGAUGGGGAACCUCCUAAAACCCUCGAUGCUCGUUAUGUGGAAAAUAUUAUGCACUUCUUUAAUAAUCCUGAGAAAACCCCAUAAAUUGUAUAAUGGCAUACACGUUGGAUCAACGUGAAUACUUUAGGGAUUAUCGCUUGACUCAAAAAGGGAAACUAUUAUGGGAUCAAAUUCAUAUGUUGAAAUGGUAUGCUUGGGAGCUAUGCUCGAGAGAUGAUAUUACAUGUUGCUCUAGGAUGAAGGCUAAAAACCUUCCCUUUUCUUGUAAAUUUAAUGCUAAUGAAACCUUGGCUUCUUAUGCUAAUGGUAUAUAUGAUUAAUAUGAUGUGGAACAAAUAGAAGAGUUUGUUGCUUUUAUGGGUGCUUAUGAGAUUGAACCUCUGUUUAAAAGGUGAGAUGAUAAUGAUGAUGCUGCUUACCGAUAUGAAAAUUUGGUUAUGCUUCGUUAUUGUUAUACUAAUUAUGAAUAUAAUGCCCAUAUUUAUCGAUUUAUGGAGAAGUAAACUAUGGAAGAAGAAAAUGUUGAAACCGUGAGCUCAUUAGAUGAAAAAGAUGACGAGGAGAGCGAAGAACAAAAGGAGGAAGAGCGGACUAGCUACCCGUGCCCACCUUCUAAUGAGAGUAACUCUUCAACUCAUACAUUGUUUAAUUCCCCUUCGUUCUUACAGAAGGAUGAAUUCUAUGUUGAUUGCUAUGAUCCCUUGAAUUCGUUUGAAAUAUCCCUUUUUGAUGAACUUGAUGCUUGCUAUGCUUGUGGCCAUGAUGCCAAUAUGAAUUAUGCUUAUGAAGAUGAACUUGCUAUAGUUCCUUAUGUUAAACAUGAAAUUGUUGCUAUCUCACCCACUUAUGAUAGUCCUAUUAUCUUUUUGAACUCUCCCAACUACACUAUAUUGGAGAAGUUUGCUCUUAUUAGGGAUUACAUAGAUGGGUUGCCUUCUACUAUUACACAUGAUGAUUUCGAUGAAUAUAAUAUGCAUGUGCUUGCUGCUCCUACUUGCAAUUAUUAUGAGAGAGGAACUACAUCUCCACCUCUCUAUGUUUCCAAUACGAUAAAAUUGCAAGAAGCUGCUUAUGCUAUGUAUUGGCCUUCACUUGAUGUGCAUGAAUUGUUCUUUUAUGACAUGCCAAUGCAUAGGAAGAGAGUUAGACUUUGUCAUUGCAUGAUAUAUGUUACCUUGUGCUCACUACUAAAUUACAAAUCAUUGUUAAUUAAAAUUGGUUUUGAUAUACCUUGGGAUCCGGGUGGAUCCAUUACUUGAGCACUUUAUGCCUAGCUUAAUGGCUUUAAAGAAAGAGCUGCCUGGGAGACAACCCGGAAGUUUUAGAGAGUCAUUUAUUUCUGUUAAGUUCUUUUAUAUAGUUUAAAAACAAAAAAUAAUAUAGAGGGGAACUUAAAACUCUUUCAAAAAGAGAAGCGAUUGAAAGGUGAUACAUUGCGGAAGUGAGGGUCGACCUUGAACACUUGUGUUCAUGCUCAUGGAAACAAUGUAGAAUUUUUCAUGGACAUUUCUCGCAAAAAUAAUUAUCCCCUUGUAAAAUUCCAUUGUAUUAUAAAAAUAAUGUGCCAAGUAAAGCCUUUAUGAUUAGUUUGGGUGAUAGUUGUUUGAUCAUGCUGAAAAAGACAGAAACUUUGUGCUCACCAAAUUAUUUUAGUUCCUAUCCAGAAAGAGAUUUUUAGUUGAUUCUUUUUAUGCUGAUUGAUAUGCAAAUUGCCCUAAUUGUCAUAAUUUUUCAGAAUUUUUGGAGUACCAGAAGUAUGGUAUACGUUCAGAUUACUACAGACUGUUCUGUUUUUGACAGAUUCUGUUUUCUAUGCAUUGUUCUUUUAUUUUGAUGAAUCUACGGGUAGUAUCGGGGGGUAUGGACCAUGGUGAAGUUGGAUUACAGUAGAUAUAAUGCUAAUAUAAAUUUGGAAUGAGUUCACGACAUUACUUAAAGUGGUGAUUUACGUUAUUAUACUAAGGGAUCUCACGAAGGUUUUGUUGAGUUUUGUGUGAUUGAAGUUUUCAAGUUUUGGGUGAGACCACGAUGGAUGAAGGAAUAAGGAGAGGCAAGAGCCUAAGCUUGGGGAUGCCCGAGGCACCCCAAGGUAAUAUUCAAGGAAGACUCAAGCGUCUAAGCUUGAGGAUGCCCCGGAAGGCAUCCCCUCUUUCGUCUACAAUCUAUCGGUAAUUUUACUCAGAGCUAUAUUUUUAUUCGUCACAUGAUAUGUGCAAAUGCUUGGAGCAUCUUUUGUGUUUAUUUUUUCCUUUUUAUUUUAUGCACCAUGCUGGUAUGAGAUAGUCCUUGGUUGAUUUAUAGAAUGCUCUUUGCACUUCACUUAUAUCUUUUGAGUAUGGCUUUAUAGAAUCUUCAUGUGCUUAACUUAUAUCAUUUGAAGUUUGGAUUGCCUGUUUCCCUACACAUAGAAAACCGCCAUUUGUAGAAUGCUCUUUUGCUUCACUUAUAUUUGUUAGAGCGGGGCAUAUAUUUUGAAGAAAGAAUUAAACUCUCAUGCUUCCCUUAUACCUAUUUAGAGAGUUAACAGGAGUUGGUCAUUCACAUGGUUAGUCAUAAAAUCCUACAUAAAACUUGUAGAUCACUGAAUAUGAUAUGUUUGAUUCCUUGCAUUAGUUUUACAACAUGAAGAUGUGAUAUUAGAGUCAUGCUAGUGAGUAAUUGUGUAUUCGUAGAAAUACUUGUGUUAAGGUUUGUGAUUUCCGUAGCAUGCACGUAUGGUGAACCGUUAUGUGACGAAGUCGGAGCAUGAUUUAUUUAUUGAUUGUCAUCCUUUGUGUGGAGGUCGGGAUCGCGCGAUGGUUAACUCCUACCAACCCUUCCCUUAGGAGCAUGCGUGUAGUACCUUGUUUCGAUGACUAAUAGACUUUUGCAAUAAGUAUGUGAGUUCUUAAUGACUAAUGUUGAGUCCAUGGAUUAUACGCACUCUCACCCUUCCACCAUUGCUAGCCUCUCUAGUAUCGCGCAACUUUCGCUGGUGCAUUGCACCCACCAUAUACCCUUCCUCAAAACAGCCACCAUACCUACCUAUUAUGGCAUUUCCAUAGCCAUUCCGAGAUAUAUUGCCAUGCAACUUCCAUCGUUCCGUUUAUUAUGACACACACCAUCAUUGUCAUAUUGCUUUGCAUGAUCGUAAGAUAGCUAGCAUGAUGUUUUCAUGGCUUGUCCGUUUUUUGAUGUCAUUGCUACGCUAGAUCAUUGCACAUCCCGGUACACCGCCGGAGGCAUUCAUAUAGAGUCAUAUUUUGUUCUAAAUAUCGAGUUGUAAGUAAAUAAAAGUGUGAUGAUCAUCAUUAUUAGAGCAUUGUCCCAUGUGAGGAAGUAAUAGAAGAGGCCAAUGAAGCCCAAAUAAAAAAAGAGGCCAAAGAAGCCCACCAAAAAAGGGGAAAAAUAAUUAAAAAUGAGAGAAAAGAGAGAGGGGACAAUGCUACUAUCCUUUACCACACUUGUGCUUCAAAGUAGCACCAUGAUCUUCAUGAUAGAGAGUCUCCUAUGUUGUCACUUUCAUAUACUAGUGGGAAUUUUCGUUAUAGAACUUGGCUCGUAUAUUCCAAUGAUGGGCAUCCUCAAUUGCCUUAGGUCUUCGUGAGCAAGCGAGUUGGAUGCACACCCACUUAGUUUCUUUUUGAGCUUUCAUAAACUUAUAGCUCUUGUGCAUCUCUUGCAUGGCAAUCCCUACUCACUCACAUUGAUAUCUAUUGAUGGGCAUCUCCAUAGCCCGUUGAUACGCCUAGUUGAUGUGAGACCAUCUCCUCCUUUUUGUCUUCUCCACAACCACCAUAUUCUAUUCCACCUAUAGUGAUAUGUCCAUGGCUCAUGCUCGUGUAUUGCGUGAAAGUUGAAAAAGUUUGAGAACACUAAAGUAUGAAACAAUUGCUUGGCUAAAACCGGGGUUGUGCAUGAUUUAAAUACGUUGUGUGGGGAAGAUGGAGCAUAGCCAGACUAUAUGAUUUUGUAGGGAUAACUUUCUUUGGCGAUGAUAUUUUGAGAAGACAUGAUUGCUUUGUUAGUAUGCUUAAAAUAUUAUUGUCUUUAUGUCAAAUGAUAGACUAUUGCUUCGAAUCACUCGUGUUUUAGUAUUCAUGCCAUGAUUAGAUUAUAUGAUCAAGAUUAUGCUAGGUAGCAUUCCACAUCAAAAAUAAUCUUUUUUAUCAUUUACCUACUUGAGGACGAGCAGGAAUUAAGCUUGGGGAUGCUGAUACGUCUCCAUCGUAUCUAUAAUUUUGAUGGUUUCAUGCCAAUAUUCUACAACUUUCAUAUACUUUUGGCAACUUUUUAUACUAUUUUUGGGACCAACAUAUUGAUCCAGUGCCCAGUGCCAGUUCCUGUUUGUUGCAUGUUUUUUGUUUCGCAGAUUAUCCUUACCAAACGAAAUAAAAAAUCUACGGGGAAUUUUUUUGGAAUAUUUAUGAUUUUUGGGAAGAAGAAUCUACGCGAAACGAUGCCCGAGGAGGUCACAAGGCAAGGAGCCCCCCCCUAGGGCACGGCUGGCAGGCUUGUGACCAAUCCCUAAGGUGGUUGGGGCCCUUCUUUCGCCGCAAGAAAUACAAUAUCCGGAAGAAAAUCGUGUUAAAAUUUCAGCCCAAUCGGAGUUACGGAUCUCCUGGAAUUUAAGAAACGGUGAAAGGCAGAAUCUGGGAGCGCGGAAACAGAAGGACACACAGGGAGAGAUCCAAUCUCGGAGGGGCUCUCGCCCCUCCGCCGCCAUGGAGACCAUGGACCAGAGGGGAAACCCUUCUCCCAUGUAGGGAGGAGGUCAAGGAAGAAGACAAGAAGGGGGGCUUGUUGGGUAACGUAGCAUAAAUUCAAAAAAUUUCCUACGUAUAUUCAGAUCUUCCUAUGGAGAGACCAGCAAUGAGAGAGGGGUGAGUGCAUCUUCAUACCUUUGAAGAUCUCUAAGCGGAAGCAUUGCUAGAACACGGUUGAUGGAGUCGUACUCGCGGCGAUUCAGAUCGCGGUGUGAUUCCGAUCUAGUGCCGAACCACAGCACCUCCGCGUUAAACACACGUGCAGCCCGAUGACGUCUCCCGCACCUUGAUCCAGAAAGGAGGAGGGAGAGGUUGGGGAAGAUCUCCGGCAGCACGGCGGCGUGGUGUCGAUGGAGAGACGAGGUCCCCCGGCAAGGCUUCGCCAAGCACCGUGGGAGAGGAGGAAGAAGGGGGGCAGGGCUGCGCCGAGGGAGAGGGAAAACUGUGUGCAAAAUAACCCCAAAACCCCCACUAUAUAUAGAAGGAGGGGAGGUUUGUGCCACCCCUAGGAUUCCCACCCUAGGUGGUGUGGCAGCCCCCCCCAGAUGGGAGGUGCGGCGACCAGGGCAGGGGGAGGGGUGGCGCACCCCAAGGUGGGCCUUAGGCCCACCAGCGCCCAAGGUUUCCCCCCCCCUCUCCACCUCCCGCGCCUUGGGCCUCCUUGUGGGAGGCGCACCAACCCACUUUGGGCUGGUUGCCCUCCCUCUUUUGGCCCAUUCUACCUCUUGGGGCUGGUGGCCCCUCCCGGUGGACCCCCGGGACCAUUUCCGGUGGUCCCCGUACAUUACCAGUGACGCCCAAAACAUUUCCGGUGUCCAAAACCAUCCAUCCUAUAUAUCCGGACCAUUCCAGAGCUCCUCGUAACGUCCGGGAUCUCAUCCGGGACUCCAAACAACUUUCGGUAACCUCGUAUAACAAUUCCCUAUAACCCUGGUGGCAUCAAACCUUAAGUGUGUAGACCCUACGGGUUCGGGAGACAGGCAGACAUGACCGAGACACCUCUCUGGCCAAUAACCAUCAACAGGGUCUGGAUACCCAUGGUGGCUCCCAGUUGCUCCACGAUGAUCUCAUCAGAUGAACCACGAUGUCAAGGAUUCGAUCAAUCUCGUAUACAAUUCCCUUUGUCUGUCAAUAUAGAACUUGCCCGAGAUUCGAUCGUCGGUAUACCUAUACCUUGUUCAAUCUCGUUACCGGUAAGUCUCUUUACUCGUUCCAUAGCACGUCAUCGUGUGACCAACUCCUUAGUCACAUUGAGCUCAUGAUGAUGUUCUACCGAGUGGGCCCAGAGAUACCUCUCCGUCACGCGGAGUGACGAAUCCCGAUCUUGAUUCAUACCAACCCAACACACACUUUCAGAGGUACCUGUAGUGCACCUUUAUAGUCACCCAGUUACGUUGUGACGUUUGAUACACCCGAAGCACUCCUACGGUAUCCGGGAGUUGCACAAUCUCACGGUCGAAGGAAAAGACACUUGACAUUAGAAAAGCUUGAGCAUACGAACAAUACGAUCUAGUGCUAUGCUUAGGAUUGGGUCUUGUCCAUCACAUUAUUCUCCCAAUGAUGUGAUCCCGUUAUCAAUGACAUCAAAUGCCGAUGAUCACGAAACCAUGAUCAUCUAUUGAUCAACGAGCUAGCCAACUAGAGGCUUUCUAGGGACACAUUGUGAUCUAUUUAUUCACACAUGUAUUACUGUUUCCUGUUAAUACAAUUAUAGCAUGAAUAAUAGACGAUUAUCAUGAACAAGGAAAUAAGAUAAUAACCAUUUGAUUAUUGCCUCUAGGGCAUAUUUCCAAUAGUCUCCCACUUGCACUAGAGUCAAUAAUCUAGUUACAUUGUGAUGUAUCGAACACCCAUAGCGUUAUGGUGUUGAUCAUGUUUUGCUCGAGGAAGAGGUUUAGUCAACGGGUCUGCGACAUUCAGAUCCGUAUGUACUUUACAAAUCUCUAUUACUCCAUUCUGGACAUGGUCCUGGAUGGAGUUGUAGCGGCGUUUGAUGUGCUUGGUCUUCCUAUGAAACCUGGGCUCCUUGGCUAUGGCAAUGGCCCAUUGUUAUCACAGAAGAGCGUCAUUGGACCUGACGCGCUUGGAACCACUCCAAGGUCGGUGAUGAGCUCCUUCAUCCAAAUUCCUUCAUGAGCCGCUUCUGAAGCAGCUAUGUACUCCGCUUCACAUGUAGAUGCUGCCAUGACUUCUUGCUUGCUGCUGCACCAGCUCACUGCCCCACCAUUCAAAACAUAUACGUAUCAGGUGUGUGACUUAGAGUCAUCCGGAUCUGUGUCGAAGCUAGCGUCGACGUAACACUUUACGACAAGCUCUUCGUCACCUCCAUAAACGAGAAACAUCUCCUUAGUCAUUUUCAGGUACUUAAGGAUAUUCUUGACCGCUGUCCAGUGUUCCAUACCGGGAUCACUUUGGUACCUCCCUACCAAACUUAUGGCAAGGUUUAUAUCAGGUCUGGUACACAACAUGGCAUACAUUAGAGAGCCUACGGUUGAAGCGUUGGGGACAAUACUCAUCUUCUCUCUAUCUGCUGCCGUGGUCGGUGACUGAGUCUUACUCAAUCUCAUACCUUGCAAAACUAGCAAGAACCCUUUCUUUGAGUUUUCCAUAUUGAACUUCUUCAAUAUCUGGUCAAGGUAUGUACUUUGCGAAAGACCUAUGAGGCGUCUCGAUCUAUCUCUGUAGAUCUUGAUGCCAAAUAUGUAUGCAGCUUCUCCAAGGUCCUUCGUUGAAAAACUCUUGUUCAAAUAGGCCUUUAUGCUCUCCAACAUCUCUAUAUUAUUCCCCAUCAAUAAUAUGUCAUCCACAUACAGUAUGAGGAAAGCUACAGAGCUCCCACUCACUUUCUUGUAUAGACAGGCUUCUGCAUAAACCUGUAUGAACCCAAAUGCUUUAAUCACCUCAUUAAAGCGAAUGUUUCAACUCCGAGAUGCUUGCACCAGCCCAUAGAUGGAGCGCUGGAGCUUGCACACUUUGUUAGCACCCUUAGGGUCGACAAAACCUUCUGGUUGCAUCAUAUACAACUCUUCGUUAAGGUUCCCGUUAAGGAACGCUGUUUUGACGUCCAUUUGCCAAAUUUCAUAAUCAUAAAAGGCGGCAAUUGCUAACAUGAUUCAGACCGAUUCCAGCUUCGCUACGGGAGAGAAAGUCUUUUCGUAGUCAAUUCCUUGCAUUUGUCGAAAACCCUUUGCGACAAGUCAAGCCUCAUAAACGGUUACAUUACCGUUUAAAUCAGUCUUCUUCUUGAAGAUCCAUUUAUUUGCUAUGGCUCGCCGGUCUUCGGGCAAGUCCACCAAAGUCCAUACUUUGUUCUCAUACAUGGAUCCUAUCUCGGAUUUCAUAGCUUCAAGCCAUUUGUUGGAAUCCGGGCCCGCCAUCGCUUCUUCAUAGUUCAAAGGUUCACCGUUGUCUAACAACAUGAUUUCCAUCAUAGGGUUGCCGUACCACUCAGGUGCGGAGCGUGCCCUUGUGGACCUUCGCGGUUCUGUAGUAACUUGAUCCGAAGCUUCGUGGUCAUUAUCAUUAACUUCCUCUUCUGUUGGUGCAGGCGCCACAGGAACAAUUUCCCGCGCUGUGCUACUUUCCUGUUUGAGAGGGGGUGUAAUUACCUCAUCAAGUUCUACCUUCCUCCCACUUACUUCUUUCGAGAGAAACUCUUUCUCUAGAAAGGAUCCAUUCUUGGCAACAAAGGUUUUACCUUCGGAUCUAAGAUAGAAGGUAUACCCAAUAGUUUCCUUAGGGUAUCCUAUGAAUACGCAUUUCUCUGCUUUGGGUUUGAGCUUUUCUGGUUGAAGUUUCUUCACAUAAGCAUCGCAGCCCCAAACUUUAAGAAACGAUAAUUUAGGUUUAUUGCCAAACCAUAGUUCAUACGGUGUCGUCUCAACGGAUUUAGACGGAGCCCUAUUUAAAGUGAAUGCUGGAGUUUCUAAUGUGUAUCCCCAAAAUGAUAGCGGUAAGUCGGUAAGAGACAUCAUAGAUCGUACCAUAUCUAAUAAAGUGCGAUUACGACGUUCAGACACUCUGUUGCGUUGCGGUGUGACAGGCCGCGUCAGUUGUGAAACGAUUCCAUACUUCCUUAGGUGUGCGCCAAACUCGUGACUCAAAUAUUCUCCUCCACGAUUAGAUCAUAGACACUUAAUUUUUCUGUCAUGUUGAUUCUCGACCUCACUCUGAAAUUCCUUGAACUUUUCAAACGUCUCAGAUUUGUGCUUCAUUAAGUAGAUAUACCCAUACCUACUCAAAUCAUCGGUGAGAGUGAGAACAUAACGAUAGCCACCGCGAGCUUCAACGUUCAUUGGACCACACACAUCAGUAUGUAUUAUUUCCAAUAAGUCGGUUGCUAUCUCCAUUAUUCCUGAGAAUGGAGUCUUAGUCAUCUUGUCCUUGAGGCACGGUUCGCAUGUGUCAAAUGAUUUAAAGUCAAGAGACUCUAAUAGUCCAUCAGUAUGGAGCUUCUUCAUGCGCUUAACACCGAUAUGACCAAGGCGGCAGUGCCACAAGUAUGUGGGACUAUCAUUAUCAACUUUACAUCUUUUGGUACUCACACUAUGAAUAUGUAUCACGAUCGAGAUUCAUCAAGAAUAAACCAUUCACCAGCGGAGCAUGACCAUAAAACGUAUCACUCAUAUAAAUAGAACAACCAUUAUUCUCUGACUUAAAUGAGUAGCCCUCUCGCAUUAAGCAAGACCCUGAUACAAUAUUCAUGCUCAAAGUUGAUACUAAAUAACAAUUAUUAAGGUUUAAAACUAAUCCCGACGAUAGAUGUAGAGGUAGCGUGCCGACGGCGAUCACAUCGACCUUGGAGCCAUUCUCGAGGCGCAUCGUCACCUCGUCCUUGGCCAGUCUCCACUUAUUCCGCAGUUCCUGAUUUGAGUUGCAAAUGUGAGCAACAACACCGGUAUCAAAUACCCAGCAGCUACUAGGAGCGCUGGUAAGGUACACAUCAAUAACUUGUAUAUCACAUAUACCUUUAACGUUGCCAGCCUUCUUGUCCGCUAAGUAUUUGGGGUAGUUCCGCUUCGAGUGACCUUUUCCCUUGCAAUAGAAGCACUCAGUCUCAGGCUUGGGUCCAUUCUUUUUCAUAUUCCCGGCAUCUGGCUUACCAGGCGCGGCAACGGCUUUGCCGUCUUUCUUGAAGUUCUUCUUAGCCUUGCCCUUCUUGAAACUAGUGGUCUUGUUGACCAUCAACACUUGACGCUCUUUCUUGAUUUCUACUUCUGCAGACUUGAGCAUCGAGUACAACUCAGGAAUGGUCUUCUCCAUCCCUUGCAUGUUGUAGUUCAACACAAAACCUUUGUAGCUUGGUGGGAGAGACUAGAGGAUUCUGUCAAUUAUAGCAUCAUCCGGAAGUUCGAUUCCAAGUGAAGUCAGACGACCGUGUAACCGAGACAUUUUGAGUAUGUGCUCACUGACAGAACUGUUCUCCUCCAUCUUACAACUAAAGAACUUGUCAGAGACUUCAUAUCUCUCGACACGGGCAUGAGCUUGAAAAACUAGUUUCAGCUCUUGGAACAUCACAUAUGCACCGUGUUGCUCAAAACGCCUUUGGAGCCCCGUUUCCAAACUGUAUAACAUGCCACACCUAACCAGAGAGUAGUCAUCACUCCACGUUUGCCAGACGUUCAGAAUGUCCUAGGCUGCUACGGGAGCGGGAGGGUCACCUAGCGGCGCAUCAAGGACAUAAGCCUUUCUAGCUGCUUCAAGGAUGAGCUUCAAGUUGCGUACCCAGCCCACAUAGUUGCUACCACCAUCUUUCAGCUUGUUUUCUCUAGGAAUGCAUUGAAAUUGAGGUUGACGUUGGCCAUCUACAAUAUUUAUAAAGACAACUUUUAGACUAAGUUCAUGACAAUUAAGUUCAUUUAAUCAAAUUAAGUAUGAACUCCCACUUAAAUCAACAUCCCUCUAGUCAUCUAAGUGAUACAUGAUCCAUGUUGACUAACCCGUGUCCGAUCAUCACGUGAGACGGACUAGUCACCAUGGUGAGCAACUUCAUGCUGAUCGUAUUCAACCAUACGACUCAUGUUCGACCUUUCGCUUGUAUUCGAGGUCAUGUCUGUACAUGCUAAGCUCGUCGAGUCAACCUAGGUGUUUCGCGUGUGUAAAUCUGGCUUACACCCGUUGUAUGCGAACAUUAGAAUCUAUCACACCCGAUCAUCACGUGGUGAUUCGAGACAACAAUCCUUCGCAAUGGUGCACACUUAGGGGAAUACGUUCUCGAAAUUUUAAGAGGGAUCAUCUUAUUAUGCUACCGUUGUUCUAAGCAAUAAGAUGAAAAACAUGAUAAGCAUCACAAUGCAAUCAUAUAGUGACAUGAUAUGGCCAUUAUCAUCUUUGCUCUUUCGAUCUCCAUCUUCAGGCAUCGCAUGAUCAUCAUUGUCACCGGCGUGACACCAUGAUCUCCAUCAUCGUGUCUCCAUGAAGUCGUCAUGCCAACUACUACUAUCACUACUGCUAUAGCUAACCGUUAGCAAUGAAGUAAAAGUAGUAAGUAGAUGGCGUUGCAUCUCAUACAAUAAAUGAAGACAACUCCUAUGGCUCCUGUCGGUUGUCAUACUCAUCGACAUGCGAGUCGUGAAACGUAUUAAAAUAACAUUAUCAUCUCAUACAUCAUACAUGCAACAUCACAACUUUGGCCAUAUCACAUCACAUGUCAAACCCUGCAAAAACAAGUUAGACGUCCUCUAAUUGUUGUUGCAAGUUUUACGUGGCUGAUUUGGGUUUCUAGCAAGAACGCUUUCUUACCUACGUGACAACCACAACGAUGAUAUGCCAAAGAUAUUUACCCUUCAUAAGGACCCUUUUCAUCAAAUCCAAUCCGACUAGAGUAGGAGAGACAGACACCCGCUAGCCACCUUUAUGCACGGUGUGGAUGUCUGUCGAUGGAACCAGUCUCACGUAAGCGUACGUGUAAUGUCGGUCCGGGCCACUUCAUCCCACGAUACCGCCGGAAAAUAAUAAGACUAGUAGCGGCAAGCAAUUGACAAAUCAUCGCCCACAACCUUUUGUGUUCUACUCGUGCAUAGAAUCUACGCAUAGAAAACCUGGCUGUUAUACCACUGUUGGGUAACGUAGCAUAAAUUCAAAAAAAUUCCUACGCAUAUUCAGAUCUUCCUAUGGAGAGACCAGCAACGAGAGAGGGGUGAGUGCAUUUUCAUACCUUUGAAGAUCGUUAAGCGGAAGCGUUGCUAGAACGCGGUUGAUGGAGUCGUACUCGCGGCGAUUUAGACCGCGGUGUGAUUCCGAUCUAGUGCCGAACCACGACACCUCCGCGUUCAACACACGUGCAGCCCGGUGACGUCCCCUGCACCUUGAUCCAUCAAGGAGGAGGGAGAGGUUGAGGAAGAUCUCCGGCAGCAUGACGGCGUGGUGUCGAUGGAGAGACGAGGUCUCCCGGCAGGGCUUCGCCAAGCAUCGUGGGAGAGGAGGUAGAAGGUGGGCAGGGCUGCGCCGAGGGAGAGGGAAAACUGUGUGCAAAACAGCCCCAAAACCCCCACUAUAUAUAGGAGGAGGGGAGGGGUGCCACCCCUAGGGUUCCCACCCUAGGUGGUGCGGCAGCCCCCCAGAUGGGAGGUGCGGCGACCAGGGCAGGGGCAGCGGUGGCGCACCCCUAGGUGGGCCUUAGGCCCACCAGCGCCUAGGGUUUCUCCCCUUUCCACCUCCUUCGCCUUGGGCCUCCAUGCGGGAGGCGCACCAGCUCACUUUGGGCUGGUUUCCCUCCCUCUUUUGGCCCAUGCUACCUCUUGGGGCUGGUGGCCCCUCCCGGUGGACCCCCGGGACCAUUUCCGGUGGUCCCGGUGGUCCCGGUACAUUACCGGUGACGCCCGAAACACUUCCGGUGUCCAAAACCUUCCGUCCUAUAUAUCAAUCUUUACCUCCGGACCAUUCCGGAGCUCCUCGUGACGUCCGGGAUCUCAUCCGAGACUCCGAAAAACUUUCGGUCACCUCGUACAACAAUUCCCUAUAACCCUAGCGUCAUCGAACCUUGAGUGUGUAGACCCUACGGGUUCGGGAGACAUGCAGACAUGACCGAGACACCUCUCUGGCCAAUAACCAUCAGCGGGGUAUGGAUACCCAUGGUGUCUCCCACUUGCUCCACGAUGAUCUCAUCGGAUGAACCACGAUGUCAAGGAUUCAAUCAAUCCCGUAUACGAUUCCCUUUGUCUGUCGGUAUUGAACUUGCCCGAUAUUCGAUCGUUGGUAUACCUAUACCUUGUUCAAUCUCGUUACCGGUAAGUCUCUUUACUCGUCCCGUAGCACGUCAUCGUGUGACUAACUCCUUAGUCACAUUGAGCUCAUGAUGAUAUUCUACCGAGUGGGCCCAGAGAUACCUCUCCGUCACACGGAGUGACAAAUCCCGAUCUCGAUUCGUGCCAACCCAACAGACACUUUCGGAGGUACCCGUAGUGCACCUUUAUAGUCACCCAUUUACGUUGUGACGUUUGAUACACCCAAAGCACUCCUACGGUAUCCGGGAGUUGCACAAUCUCACGGUCGAAGGAAAGGAUACUUGACAUUAGAAAAGCAUUAGCAUACGAACAAUACGAUCUAGUGCUAGGCUUAGGAUUGGGUCUUGUCCAUCACAUCAUUCUCCCAAUGAUGUGAUCCCGUUAUCAAUGACAUCUAAUGCCCAUGAUCAGGAAACCAUGAUCAUCAAUUGACUAACGAGCUAGCCAACUAGAGGCUUGCUAGGGACACAUUGUGAUCUAUUCAUUCACACAUGUAUUACUAUUUCCUGUUAAUACAAUUUUAGCAUGAAUGAUAGACGAUUAUCAUGAACAAGGAAAUAUGAUAAUAACCAUUUUAUUAUUGCCUCUAGGGCAUAUUUCCAACACAUUCCCUGAAAACACAACCAGGACAACUAUCUAGGUGGUCCCUAGAAGCUUCGGUUAGUCCAUUAUAAAAGAUAUCAAGUAUUUCAUUUUUCUCAAGAGGGUGAUCAUGCAAAGCAUUCAGUAGCUGGACAAGCCUCCCCAAGCUUGUGGGAGACUCUCUUCUUCAACUUGCACAAAGUUAUAUAUAUCCUGCAAGGCAGCUUGUUUCUUUUGGGCAGGAAAAUAUUUCUCAGAGAAGUAGUAGAUCAUAUCCUGGGGACUACGCACACAACCCGGAGCAAGGGAAGUAAACCAAGUCUUAGCAUCACCCUUUAGCGAGAAAGGAAACAACUUAAGGAUAUAGUAGUGGUGGAUCUUUUCCUCAUUUGUGAAUAGGGUGCCUAUAUCGCGCAGUUUGGUAAGAUGUGCGACAACUGUUUCAGACUCAUAACCAUGAAAAGGAUCAGAUUUGACCAAAGUGAUUAACUCAGGAUCGAUAGAGAAUUCAUAAUCCUUAUCAGUAACAAAGAUAGGCGAAGUAGCAAACUUAGGAUCGUAUUUCAUUCUAGCAUUCACAGAUUUUUUCUUUCCAGUUGUGCAAUAAAUUCUCAAGAUCAUAGCUAUCCUUACAAGCAAGAAAGUCCUCAGCUACCUCUCCCUCCAUAACAUAACCCUCAGGUAUAUCAGGCAAUUCAUAUCUAGGAGAGCUAGUUCUAACAGGUGAAAAAGCAGGUUCUACUUCAAUAAUUUCAGCAGUUUCAGAAGUAUCAUCACAUUCAGCAGCAACUCUAGCAAUUUGUGCAUCAAGGAAUGCACCUAGUGGCAAAGCAGUAUCAAGCAAAGCAUCAUCAUAAGCAUCAUGGAUAGUAGAAGUAGCAUCAUCAAGCACAUGCGACACAUCAGAAUUUCUAGUAGGUGGUGGUGUCGCAAAGUUACUCAUAACUGAAGGUGAAUCAAGUGUAGAGCUAGAUGGCAGUUCCUUACAUGUCCUCGUACUUGAGGGCAAGACUUUAGUUUUUGGAGCUCUCGGAUUCCUCAUAGUGAUCAACAGACGUAAAUCCCAAGUGACUCAGAGAAUAGAGCUAGGCCUCCACGACAGUGGCGCCAGAAAAUAGUCUUGAUAACCCACAAGUAUAGGGGAUCGCAACAGUUUUUGAGGGUAGAGUAUUCAACCCAAAUUUGUUAAUUCGACAGAAGGGGAAGCAAAAGAAUAUUCUCAAGUAUUAGAAGUUGAGCUGUCAAUUCAACCACACCUGAAAGACUUAGUAUGUGCAACAAAGUUUCAGUAGCAGAGUAGUGUGAUAGUAACAGUAGCAACGGUAACAGUAGCACCAGUAACAGCAGUAGCGGUAAUAGUAGCAGUAGUGACAAUAGUAGUGGUAAAGUAACGUAGCAAGGACUAGUAGGAAAAAACUCGUAGGCAUUGGAUCGGUGAUGGAUAAUUAUGUCGGAUGACAUUCAUCAUGUAUCAUUUAUAACAUGGGAUGAUUUGUAACUAGCUCUAGUUCGUCAAUGUAAUGUAGGCAUGUAUUCCGUAUAUAGUCAUACGUGCUUAUGGAAAAGAACUUGCAUGACAUCUAUUGGCCAUCCCUCUUGUGGCAGCGGGGUCCUAAUGGAAUCUAAGGGAUAUUAAGGUCUCCUUUUAAUAGAGAACCGGAACAAAGCAUUAGCACUUAGUGAAUACAUGAACUCCUCAUACUAUGGUCAUUUCCGGGAGUGGUUCCGGCUAUUGCCACUCCGGGGUUGCCGGGUCAUAACACAUAGUAGGUGACUACAACUUGCAAGAUAGGAUCAAGAACAGACAUAUAUUGAUGAAAACAUAAUAGGUUCAGAUCUGAAAUCAUGGCACUCGGGCCCUAGUGACAAGCAUUAAGCAUAGAAAAGUAGUAGUAACAUCAAUCUCACAACAUAGUGGAUACUAGGGAUCAAACCCCAUCAAAACUAACUCGAUUACAUGAUAGAUCUCAUCCAACCCAUCACCGUCCAGCAAGCCUACGAUGAGAUUACUCAUGAACGGUGAAGAGCAUCAUGGAAUUGGCGAUGAAGGAUGGUUGGAGAUGACGACGGCAACGAUUUCCCCUCUCCGGAGCCCAGAACGGACUCCAGAUCUGCCCUCGAGAGGAAGAACAGGUGGUGGCGGCGGCUCCGUGUCGUAAAACACGAUGAACUCUUCUCUCUUAAUUUUUUCUGGGUGAGAGAGACUAUAUAGAGCUGGAGUUGGAGGCGGGGGAGCCACGAGGGCCUCACAAGCCUGUGAGGCGCGGCCAGGGGGGCCGCGCCUCCUGGUCUUGUGGGCUCUUGGCUCCGUCCCUCCACGUAAUUCUUGCGCCAGUAUUUUUCAUAUAUUCCACAAAAAAUCCUCAUAAAUUUCGAGGUCAUUCCGAGAACUUUUAUUUUUGCGCAAAAACAACACCAUGGCAAUGUUGUUGAAAACAACGUCAGUCCGGGUUAGUUCCAUUCAAAUCAUGCAAAUUAGUGUCCAAAACAAGGGCAAAAGAGUUCGGAAAAGUAGAUACGAUGGAGACGUAUCAGAUCUUCGGCAGCACGACGGCGUGGUGUCGAUGGAGAGACGAGGUCUCCUGGCAGGGCUUCGCCAAGCACCGUGGGAGAGGAGGAAGAAGAGAGACAGGGCUGCGCCGAGAGAGAUGGAAAACCGUGUUCUCAAAGGCCAAAACCCCCCGCUAUAUAUAGGAGGAAGGGGGGGUGGCACCCCCUUUAGGGUUUCCCACCCUAAAGGGGGGCGGCAACCCUAGAUGGGAGAGGGGGUGGCGUCCGGGAGGGGGAGAGGGGGUGGCGCACCCCUGGUGGGCCUUAGGCACACCAGACUUAGGGUUUCCCCCCUUUCCCUCUCUAUGCGCCUUGGGCUAUGUGUGGGAGGCGCACCAGCCCACCAGGGGCUCGUUCCCUCUCACACUUGGUCCAUGUAGCCUCCUGGGGCUGGUGGACCCUCCCGGUGGGCCUCCGGAACCCUUCCGGUGGUCUCGACACUUUGCCGGUGGCGCUCGAAACAUUUCUAGCGUCCAAACCCAUACAUCUAUAUAUCAAUCUUUACCUCCGGAUCAUUCUGGAGCUCCUCGUGAUGUCCGGGGUCUCAUCCGGGACUCCGAACAACCUUCGGUAACCUCGUAUUGCAAUUCCCUAUAACCCUAGCGCCAUCGAACCUUAAGUGUGUAGACCCUACGGGUUUGGGAGGCAUGCAGACAUGACCGAGACACUCUCCGGCCAAUUACCAUAAGCGGGAUCUGGAUACCCAUGGUGGCUCCCACAUGUUCCACGAUGAUCUCAUCGGAUGAACCACGAUGUCAAGGAUUCAAUCAAUCCCGUAUACAAUUCCCUUUGUCUGUCGGUAUAGAACUUGCCCGAGAUUCUAUCGUUGGUAUACCCAUACCUUGUUCAUUCUCGUUAUCGGUAAGUCUCUUUACUCGUUCCGUAGCACGUCAUCCUGUGACUAACUCCUUAGUCACAUUGAGCUCAUGAUGAUGUUCUACCGAGUGGGCCCAGAGAUACCUCUCCGUCACACGGAGUGACAAAUCCCGAUCUUGAUUCGUACCAACCCAACAGACACUUUCAGAGAUACCCGUAGUGCACCUUUAUAGUCACCCAGUUAUGUUGUGACGUUUGAUACACCCAAAGCACUCCUACGGUAUCCGUGAGUUGCACAAUCUCACGGUCUAAGGAAAAGACACUUGACAUUAGAAAAGCUUUAGCAUACGAACAACAUGAUCUAGUGCUACACUUAGGAUUGGGUCUUGUCCAUCACAUCAUUCUCCCAAUGAUGUGAUCCCGUUAUCAAUGACAUCUAAUGUCCAUGAUCAGGAAGCCAUGAUCAUCUAUUGAUUAACGAGCUAGCCAACUAGAGGCUUGCUAGGGACACAUUGUGAUCUAUUUAUUCACACAUGUAUUACUCUUUCGUGUUAAUACAAUUAUAGCAUGAACAGUAGACGAUUAUCACGAACAAGGAAAUAUGAUAAUAACCAUUUUAUUAUUGCCUCUAGGGCAUAUUUCCAACAGUCACAACAGAUGGGGACGAUGGACCUAUUGUUGACAUUGUGGAUAGGUCGAUGACCUUGCCGAAGCAUCGAAGGAUGCAAGCAAGUUUCUCAAUGUCCUCCUUGAUGGGGCUCAUAAAAACUGUCGCAACGUCAUCUCCAAAGAGAGCCGUUCUCAAGAUGGCACGAGGGGGGCGAAUCUUGUGCAGAAGACCCCAUUGCAAAAUCAAGAAGUUGUUGGAGUGGGUCAAAGGGAAUGACAAAAAGUAGCGGGGAGAAUGGGUCUCCUUGCCGAAGGCCUCUAGUAUCCUUGAUAGGGGAGCCAACCACACCAUUGAGAAGGACUCUCGUGGAGGAGGAGUGCAAUAAGGUUGUGUCCCAAUCUCUAAAUUUGCUCGGGAAACCUCUCCGUUGAAGGAGCUCAAGAAUAUACUCCCACUAAAGCGAGUCCAAACCCUUGAAAACGUCAAGCUUGAGAAAAACGAUGAAAAUUGCUUUUGUGGUGUCUCCUUGCAUGGUUGCACACGUACAUGAAGUUGUCAUGGAUGCUUAUUAUCUAGAUGAAAGCACUUUGAGCAUGAAAGCUUAAAGUGUUCUUGUGAGGGCCGAGCCGCAUGGCAAUGAUUUUUUUGCAACAAAAUUCGUGAAAGAGUGGACAAGGCUAAUCAUAUUAUAGUCCCCCACACCAUCCACACCUUGCUUUUCAGCAAGAGAACAAUGUUAGCGGAUAUGAGGAACAAAAAGGUUGCGACAUCAAGAUUGCCAAUGUCAUUGAUGGUCCUCAUAAAGUCAUCUUUAAUGAUGCCCCAAACACUUCUUGAAGAAGGCGCCGACAAAACCAUCAGUACCGGGAGCUUGUCACUAGGGAUAUGAUUGAUAACAUUGUGAACCUCCUCGAUAAAAGCAUCAAGCUCCUCCAGGACACAAUACACAAUGUUAAAGUCAUCCCAAUUGAAAUACAGUUGGCUUGAUCUGAGCUUUGCCAGUGGCAUAGGAGAAGUAGUCAUGGAUAAUGGUCUCCUUAUGAUCAUGGUCGGUGGCCCACUCAUUGUUAUGAUAGAGACGACGUAUGCAUUUUUUCUCCUUCUAACAUUGAUGAGGUGGUGGAAGGAUUUGGUGUAACCAUCACCACCACCCUUCAAGAUCGCAAUACAAACACAUGGCUUCUUCCUAGUACGCUCAAGAGAUGCCAAGGUUAUAACCCUCCUUUCGAGCCUUGCACAAAUAUCAAGUCCGGACAGAGAGAGUAAACGAUCCUCUUGUGCAAUGUCAAGGCGAAAAAUAACCCAAAGAGCGGUGUCAUAUGUCUUAAUGUAUCUAUACUUUUUUGAUUGUUUUAGGAUAUGUGGUAUCUCACUUUGGCAUAGUUUUAAUACAAAUUUUAUUUAUUAUCUAGAGUAAUAUAUUAAUCCAUUGACGUGUGCCAACUGCUAUCUUUUGCAUGUUUUGGGACUUUCUCGAAAAUCAAUUUUACACACCUAACAAUAUGAAAGAUAUACUACAUAAUUUUUUUUGCAUCGAGAAGGUCCGGAAGGACACUGGACACACCGAGCCUAUGGGCUCCAUGCGUCCAAGUGGCAUGGGCAAGGGAAGGCCACGUGAGUCACCAAGGUAUCCUCUUCAUAGCCCCUCGAGAUCACUGCCUUUAUAUUUGCCCGAAAACCCUGAUUUUCUCACGAGGACGUUUCGGCUGCAACACCUCUUUAUUCUAAAGCUAUCCAAUCUCGAGGCAUUCUUCGAUACUCUGUCAGAAAAGGAAAUCAUCUCACGGGCCAUCUACAUCAACCUUGUUACCAUCAUGAUCAACCGUGAGUAGUUUCCCUUAGACAAUAGAUCCAUAGUAGUAGCUAGAUGUCUUUCUCUCCAUUGUUUCUCACUACAAAGAUUUCUUGAGCUUCCCAACUUGAAUGUGAUCAAUCUGAUGUAUUCUCUUGGAGUGCUUGUUGGAGUGUGAUGUAAUCUAUCCAUGAUUUAUAUUUGGAUUCUUACAGGACCGACCCUGAGGGAGGGGGCAAGAGGGGCAGCCGCCUAGGGCCACCUGAUGCCAAGCCUCCCCACCCCCGACGAUCCUUAUUCUGUGCUUUUAUGGGCCUCGCCCCCGAUCGGAGUGCUGAAGUAUUUAACCAUCAUGUAAAUUGAAUGUGUAGAUCCUUCCUACUGCGAUCAAGUAAUACUAGAUCAAUUACUCCAUGCGAUUAAUUAGGAGUAGUUAUGGCAAAAACGCAUGUGAUUUUCCUUCCUUAAUACAGCAGUCGAACAUUGUGCGACCAAUUGAUUUUUAUUGGAAGGUGUGCACCCAAUUCUUGGACUAAAAAAAUAGCAUACAUCGAGGCCAAGGGAUCGCUAGAAAAGGAACAAAUCAAGCGGAAGGGGCCAAUGCUACACGCGACAGCAGUGGGACGACACACAUGCAUUUGGUGUGUUUUCAUGGUGGCGCCUCCAGUUGGAUCAGAGUCGUACUGCCGGAGAUAUCCAUGUUACUUCCUUCCAUGCGACCUCACUGACUUGCUGAGAGGCCUCGCGAUCCAUGAGCGCCCAGAUUGCUCGCGGCGGCAUCCAGCCGAAACGUAUUGUGCCACGCAGUACGGGGCAGAUGGCUGUCGGAGAAGGACUAGUUUGAAGAUGCACGCAAAUGCAUCGCGUCGCAGGUGGGCAGCCCAUCCGUGUCCAGCAGAGCGUCCUGCAGCCACGCCGAAUCAUCGAUGAUGAAGCUGGGGGAACCAAACAAGAUCUCUCCACCGAGUGUCAUCACGAUGACUAGGAAAUCACCACCUGUGUCGAAAAUCGCUAGACGAUUUGCCCCCAUGAUGUGCGUCAAAUGUCGUGGGAGUGAUCCUGACAAUGAGUAUGGGGAUACAAAUGAAGGGGGAGCCUAGUGUUAGAGCAUAUUUCUCCAUAUGUGGUUUUGGUAAUUGAUGACAAUUCCUAUGGACUAAUGGUUGCCUUAAGUUAUAUUUAUAGAUUUGUCCAUAGGCACUUCUUGAAGUCCAUCUGUUGGGUUCAAGGAGUUUAUAUGAUGACCAAGAUGGUAUUCAAGGUAUUAUCCAAAGAAUGAUCAUAGAGACACAAGGUUGAUCAAGAUCUCAGACAAAGAGUAAAUCAAUAUGAUCAACACACAAAGCGUACAAGAUGUACCGAGAAGGAUCAAGUGAUCCCAUGGUAUGGUAAGCAUUGUCCAUUACGUGUUUGUGUACUAACCCAUGGUCUUCGUGAGAGUUCUAUGUGGGGUUAGGUGUGUCUCCAUGGGCUUGCGUCUAGAGGAAGAUCUCAUACAACCCAUGAAGGAUGACGUCAAGUGGUGAUCGUCAUCAAGAUUGCGGUGUGCAAGUUCAAGUGGAUCAGCAUGAAGAUAUCAUGCUUGAAGCGUGCCGUCCAUUGUGGUGGCAAUGGACUUGUGAAGAUAUACUGAAGAGCGGAUCACCCAUGUUGUGUAUGGGGGAGCAAUCAACUAGUCUUCAUCAAGCCAACGCAAUCAAGAAGGUGGUCCAUCUUGAGGAAGCCAAGAUCAUCGUCAUCUAGCUCAAGAGGGCGAGGUGCAAGGUAUAGGUUUUCCCUUGAUAGGUUUUUUGUUUUAGGAUAGAUUGUCGUUCUGUCAAGGGGGGAGGGGGGCUCUCAAGUUAGUAGCUCGAUUGUAUCGUUCGUUGAGAGCUCAAACCAUUUCCAUCCUUGCAUCAUACUUGUUGGUUCAUAUUUGGUGUUCCUCUUUGUGAGUUUUAGAGCUUAUGGUCAUCUUCAUGACAAGCUCGAGUUCAUAAAAAACGGAGUCCAUAUGCAUCUACUAUGAUAUUUUAGAUGUUGGAGUUUUUGCCGGUUCUUCAUUCAUAGAGGUAUCACAUCUCUAUAUCAUUGGCAUUUUCAUAUCUGCAUGGUCUCACGUAUCUAUAUCAUUCAUAGAGGUCUCACAUGCUCUUGUCGUCCUGAAUACAACAAGCUUGGGUUUGCUCGAUUCGGAGCUCGUAUGUGAAAGUUAUGGUUGUUUCAGUGGCGAGCGGUAGUACCGCUCCAGUCCUAGCGGUAGUACUGCCAGGGGCAGCGGUAGUACCGCUCCGGGUGGGCGGUACUACCUCUCUCUGAGCGGUUGUUCUCUGUCAUACUUUUUGCGAAGACUUACUUUAGCGGUAGUACCACGAGGGGCUAGCGGUAGUAUCGCCAGGGCUAGCGGUAGUACCGCUCCUCCCUGAGCGAUAGUACCGUUGGGGGCAGCGGUAGUACCGCUGUGCACAGGCUGUAAGUGGGGGUAACGGUCUGAUUCCUUCCCCCACUAUAUAAAGGGGGUCUUCUUCCCCCUUGGCCUUAUCUAUCCGUUGAGCUCGUGUUCUUCCCCCAUUGUUGACCUUCUUAGAGCUUGAUAACUCUCAAUCCCUCCAAUGAUUCUUGCUAGUUCUUGAGGGAAAAGAGAGAGGACAUCUAGAUUCACAUCUCCACCAAUAACUUUAUCCUCUAUGGGAGGGGAACCCCUUGGAUCUAGAUCUUGGAGUUCUUUGUGAGCUCCGUGUUCUUCCUCUCAUAUUUCUCCAUAGCUUUUGUUGUUGUGGAGGGAUUUGAGUGUGAGGGACUUGACCACUUCGUGUGUUCUUGCCAUUGCAUUAGUUGCAUCGGUUGAGUUCUCCACGGUGAUACGUGGAAGUGAGAAGUUGAGAAGCUUAUUACCCUUUGGUACUUAGUACCCUAGAUAUUGUUCUUCGUGGAUGUGUUGGCGUCCUAGAAGCUUGGUGGUGUCUCGGAGCUCAAUCAUUGUGGUGUAAAGCUCUGGGCAAGCGUCGGGGUCUCCAAUUAGGUUGUGGAGAUUCCCCGAGCAAUUUGUACGGGUACCGGUGACCGCCCCCAAGGGUUGCCAUUUGUACGGGUUUGGUGACCGCCCUCAAGGGUCCCUUAGUGGAAUCAUGGCAUCUUGCAUUGUGCGAGGGCGUGAGGAGAUUACGGUAGCCAUAGUGGCAUCUUGGGGAGCAUUGUGCCUCCACACCGCUCCAACAGAGAUUAGCAUCCGCAAGUGUGUGAACUUCGGGAUACAUCAUCGUCCCCGCGUGCCUCGGUUAUCUCUUACCCAAACCCUUUACUUAUGCACUUUACUUUGUGAUAGCCAUAUUGUUUCUUGUCAUAUAUCUUGCUAUCACUUAGUUGUUUAUCUUGCUUAGCAUAAGUUGUUGGUGCACAUAGGUGAGCCUAGUUGUUUUAGGUUUUGUGCUUGACAUAUUAAACGUUAGUUUUAUUCCGCAUUUGUUCAAGCCUAAACCGUAAUUAUUUUAAAGCGCAUAUUCACCCCCCUCUAGGCUACAUCCACGUCCUUUCACCUAGCUACCUACGACACAGGUGUCUCACUCGGAUUUUACAAGUUUGGGCCCCUCUCAGAGAGGUAAAAACCCUACGUCUCGUGUCCAGAGGCUUAGCUUUGUCUGGGGUGUCUGAUUACAUUAAAUGCUUAACCCUUGCCACAGAGCUCGAGGGCGGCUUAUAUAGAGUGCGCAAGAACCCGUCGAGCACCAUUACAAGGGCAUUAAAUACGAGUAAAUGUCGGCGUUACUAGAAACUAUAGUAUUAACUAGAGUUGUUAGUGUGGCCUGAUUGUACUUUAUGUAUGGUUUUAAGUUCCUCGGUCGUUGAAGCUAUCGCGUCGUCCAUGUUCACUUCUAUCCGAGUGUUGAAGUCCGACCGACUGGUUGGAGGACAUCUGAGUGACCCCAUGGGUCCGAGUGGAUCUAGCGUGCAGAUCCGAAUGUGCCUGUAGUACUGAGACCUUAGUGACCAUGUGGGCCCAUAGGUUGGCCCUGGAUGUCUGAUCCAUGACCCUACCACUAGUAGGUAACUCCAUGAGGCGUUGGUGUUGGGUUUGGAGGUGGUGGAAGGGGGCUUCGGUAAAGAUGCUGGAGGUGCGUUUGGAGGUGGUGUCUGUUUCAGCCAUGGUGUUGGAGGUGGCAAACCAUGCGGAUGGCGGCGACGGUGGCGAUGGUCGUGCUACGGGUGGCGGUGCUCGUUCUCCAGUCCAAGUUAAAUAUGGUGGUGCUUGUUCUCCGAUCCAAGUUCACGAAGAUGGUGGUGCUACGCGAGUACGCGAGGUGGUGACGAUCUUCACAACAAUGAGGAUGUUGCUUGAUUUCUCCAUGACCGGUGGUCCUUUUAGCAUCUGUUGUUCUGUUUGAUCGUACAUUUGUAAGGCUAAACUUGUUACCUCGUAUAUUGCGCAUGAUUUUAAUAUAUAUAUUAUAAAGGGAUUUUUAUUUUUGUGCCCCUCGUUCGUUAGUUCUACUCAUUCAUCCCCACACUCUUCACUUUUGCUCACUUUUCCCCACUCCCUUGCUCGAAACCCUCAGAACAGGUUACAACGGACGUUGCCGUCGGGUGAGUGCUUUGACCUUAACUCUGACGAGUGGGGCCGCGUAGGGCGCAUGCAACUGACCGCGGUCGUGGGGUAGCACGUGUCGAUGGGGGCAGUCGAUGGGACAUGCCCGAAACGUCCCAUCGUAUAAAGAGGGGGAAGCACCUCCCAGCGCAUGGCUCCUACCAUUUCCCCGAAAUCCCCUCCCUGUUGCAUCGUCUUCCUAUCCCCAACCGACAUCAUAUCGCUCUCCUUCACUGCCGUCUCGUUAUCUCCCACCGCAUCCUCUUCCUCGCCUUCAUAGCCUCCAUCUAUCCGAUGGCGGAUGCUCAUGGCGACGCCGGCGCAGCGGCCGGAGAUAUAUUGGAGGUGGAGGACGCGGUGACCGCAGAUGAAGUGAAGGAUGUUGGUGGCGUCCACGACGGUGCGGGGAAACUCGCAACCACUGCGGGUGUGGAGUAGGAGGUGGCGGUCUCCCCCUCAGUGCUGCCUGAGCAGAAGGUGACAGCGUCCAGCGGCGCAGUCCAUCCCGAUACCCGCGAUGCGCAAUCUGGGGAGGAGCAGGAGAUAUUUGCACUUGCUUGUUAGUUGCAAUAUUUAGGAUAUUAGCUUGUAGAUUUAGUUGCAUUGGUCAGAUUGUGAUUCAUACGGCAGUACAGAUGGUUAGAGUAGUUGGUUGGAUGGAUGGGCCGGGGUUUUCUAUAUGGGGGGAUAGGGUUUUUUCGUUGCAAAAAUGCUAGAUAGAUCUGUGUCACGCCCAAGAUGCGACCCUAUCCUCAAUUUGGCACGAAGACCUCGUCAGGGAUAGAAGCGCAUCUCGUCGUGUCACAAGAAUGGAUAUCGUUACGAGUACAUGUACUAAAAAGAAGAGAUAUAUAGAUAGAAUUGGCUUACACUCGCCACAAGCUACAUCAGAGUCACAUCAGUACAUUACAUAAUCAUCAAGAGUAAGAGCAGGGUCCGACUACGGACGAAAACAAACGAGAAAAGAAGAAUGACGUCCAUCCUUGCUAUCCCAGGCUGCCGGCCUGGAACCCAUCCUAGAUCGAUGAAGAAGAAGAAGAAAAAGCAACCCCAAAUGAACAAUCAACGCGCUCGCGUCUAGUAACCUUUACCUGUACCUGCAACUGGUGUUGUAGUAAUCUGUGAGCCACAGGGGACUCAGCAAUCUCAUUUCCAAAGGUAUCAAGACUAGAAAAGCUUCAUGGGUGAGGCAUUGUUAAGUGGUGAGGUUGCAGCAGCGGCUAAGCAUAUAUUUGGUGGCUAAACUUACGAGUACAAGAAAUAAGAGGGGGAAGAUCUACGCUUAGCGGACGUGAACUACGGAUGAUCAAAUGAAUGAUCCUGAACACCUACCUACGUCAGACAUAACCCCACCGUGUCCUCGAUCGGAGAAGGAACUCACGAAAGAGACAGUCACGGUCAUGCACACAGUUGACAUAUUUUAAUUAAGUUAACUUCAAGUUAUCUAUAACCAGUGUUAAACAAAGUUUCCACGUUGCCACAUAACCGCGGGCACGGCUUUCCGAAAGAUUUAACCCUGCAGGGGUGCUCCAACUAGUCUAUCACAAAUUACCACAAGCCGCAUAGAAAUCCUCAAUCACGAAGCUGGCGAUCUUGUCGGAUUCCCUAGUUGAAAACCGCAACUCUGAGAUUACCCAAAGCAUCACCGGAAUCCCGAUGCACAAGAUAUUCCGUCAAAGGUAAAACUAAACCAGCAAGGCCGUCCGACGUGUCAACGAUCCCGAUAGGAACCGCGUAUCUCGUUCUCAGGACACGACGGAUAAGCACAGCGUACGGUGGCCUGAUAGUAAUCUCCCGAGUUGCCCCGGGUUGGCCCCGCAAACGACUCUAGUUUUGGACCAGCACCAACAGCACUGGCCCCCCUGUAUUAUGUGAAAUUACUCCUCGGGUUCAUGACGCCCUAUGCUUUCAGUAUUAACAAGUUAUUAUGUUGGGCAAAUGUAGUACCAAUGUUGGGCCUUGCCAGACCAGCUUUAAUCUAAAACGAAUUAUCAAGGCGGUCCCCAUAACAACCCCGAUCGUGUUAGGAGCGCUCGUUUAUGGAACAUAACACCGGUAGCCGAAACUAAGGGCGGCAAAGGUGGAACAAAACACCAAGCUAGAAAGGCCAAGCCUUCCACCUUUUACCAAGUAUAUACGUGCAUUAAAAUAAAUAGCAUUUAAUAUGGUGAUAUGACAAGGAACCCAUGUUAACACAUGGAAGCAACUUCACCUGCAACUAGCAAUGUUAACAACAAGGUUAAGCAGACGAACCAACGUAGUCGAACGGGUCCUCACAUUCCGACACGCUUGCGGAACUCUAUCGAGACGGAGCAAACCGGAGAAAAACAUCAACACAGAUAUUCACCACACGAUGCACAACAUGAUGCAUAACCUACUAUGAUGCAUGAUCAGUUCAAUGAUGCAAGGGAUGGCAUGGCAAUUCACCUCACACAAACUCUACACAUUAAGUGAAGCUCGAUAUGCAACGAGUUGCAUACCGACGGAACUCCACGUUUAAUUUUUUAAUUCACUCCCGUUUAUUUACACGGCAAUAUUAAAUUGUUGUUAACAUGGCAAGGGGUGAAGUGGUGAUCCUACAUGGCAUCCUAGACGGUUUAACUCGCGGAACAUAGAACGGAUCUACAGCACAAAAGACAUGCAACACAAUAUAUAUGCCAUGAAUGCGUCAUGCAUGCAAGUUCACAACAACACGGGCAAGAAGAGAAGAAGCAGGUGUCGCCACGGCGAGCGAGAGGGAACCAAGGCGGCAAAACGGAGACGAUGCCAUGGCAACAUUUCAGUCCCGAUAACUCGAAGAGGUAUCGGUGCCAACGAAUUGUGAGCGUGUGCGUGUCAUGCCAAAGAAUGAUGGGGUGAUCCACGGUUACGGGGUUCCCAUGUGUCGGGGCACGACAAAAGAGAAACAACAUGCAGCUAACAUGGCCUAUACGAAAUGGACAACAACACACUCAUACAACAAUGUGUGCCUCGAAAAUAAUAAAAUCACACCAGAGAAAUAUAUACAUGGCCGAAUUACAACAUAGUGUAUAGGGCCAGAAUUGUAUCAAGCCCGAGGGGCUGAGUGUGCAACAAGUGGCCUAGUCAAAAACAAGAAAAAAUGUUGGAGCAUCCUGGAUUCGAACCCAGGACCUCCCUGGUGCUUGCGCUGCUCACUGACCAACUGGUUACAACAGACUGUGACAAAACCCUCGCUAAAUACCUAUGUAAGGAGCUAACCUGAACCAAAUAAAUAAACAAAAGGAAAAAAUAGGGUUGUCUGGGAUUCGAACCCAGACCUCCCGGCUGGAUACAAGGGCGCUAACCACUGCGUUGGUACAAGUGCUUAUGCAAAAAUGUGGGUGUUAAUUAUUCUAAACUAACUCCACUGCUAGGUCUUCUCACCAUCGAUUCGUGAAGAACCUGUCGUGACGGAAGUCAAUAGCAGCUGCGGCUGUAGUAGCGGGGGCCGGUGGGGGAGGCUCUGGUGACGCCGUCUCUGGCCGAGGUCGCCGGAUCCGGCCCUUGCUAGGUCCUGCGGCGCGGGGGCGAGGCGAGCUGGGGCCUGUGGUGGUGCCCCCGCGAGGCUCCGACUAGCAAGGUGUGGCGGGGGAUGCGCGCUGCACAAACUUGAGACCGGGGACCACGAAUCCGCCAUGGCUGCCUGGACCUAGAGAAUACAGAGAGAAAUUAGGGAGGGAGAGAGGAAGAACGGGAAGGCACAAGAAGGAGAGGUCCGACGAGGCUUCCUGGGGGUUCAACGCCGGCGCGGGGCUCCUGGAUGCGGCGGGGUCGACGAGGCACUGGGGCAUGUGGAGCACGGGGCCGAGCCUCGGGAGUGGGGCCAUGGCUGCGGGAGGAGAGGCGGCGCGCGAGGCACAACAGGCGGCGGGCAGGCGAGGGCGAAGACACGGGAGGAGAUGGGGAUCGAAGGAAAGGGGGGAGACGACGCAGGAGGGACGAGGGGAUCGGGCUCCUGGCGCUAGGGCAAGAGAAGCUUGGGCCUGGCCUGCCAGCUGGGCCUCCUUCCUACUCUGUGUUUUUUUACUUUGAAAACAGAAAAAAAUCUUAAACAAAGGAAAACUUUUAACAAUAAUAAAAAAAUAAAAAUAAAAUAAAAUGCUUUUGCUCCUUUGAAAAUUAUACCCAACUAUAAAAUAGAUUGGGCUUUUUAAAACAAAUAAAAAAGAAACCUUUUUUUAAGAAUUAAAAUAAAACCCUUUUUAACAAGAGAAUAAAACCCUUUUCUUACAAAAGAAUAAACCAAACCCCUUUGAAGAAAUAAAUAAAACCUCUUUAUUUAAAGAAUAAAAUAAGAGCUCUUUAAAGGAGAAAAGAAAAUGAGACGGGUUUUUAGAAAAAUAAACAAAAGGGAAAAUAAAGGAAACCCAAGGGGUGGCCCCACAUUUAACAAAAGGUUUUUUUUGAAAGAAGAUGCUUUUUUUAAAAAUAGGGGUUUAAACAAAGACUUCAGCAAAACCAUAAAAAACGAAAUAAGAGGGGUGAGGGGAAGUUACUAUCGCACUAUGACUCGGUGAACACUCGAAGCACAACACUCAAAACACCACACGCGACAUACGAUGCAAGAUGCCAUGCAUGAUGCGACGAUGCAAACUAAAUGAUGAUGCAACUAAUAAAACUAAUCACACGACGGAAACAGAAAUAACAGGGGAAUCUUCUUGGGCGUCGGUCUCGGGCUGUCACAACUCUCCUACACUACACGAGCAUCUCGCCCCGAGAUCCAAGAAUGAAAGGGGGAGAGGAUGAGAAAGAACAAGAUGUAAAACUUAGUCGCUUCUUUGACAAACGAGUGAAACCAACGAUCCUUGAAAGUUGCAAAGAGAUGAGGAAUGAUAUGAGAAAGGGGCAAGAAUUCACGGAAAAUUUCAGCAGCACUUCGGUAGGAAAAUGGGACAAAAAAAUUCGAUAAGAAGAGAGAAUUAUACAAUAUACAUGACACACAACUAAAUAGAACAAGGGAACACCAUGAUCUUGAUAGAACAACAUAAUAGACCCAAAAGAGCAACAUCACAAAGCCUCCGGAACAAGAGAAUAGGAACUAGCUCAAGCGGAAGAAGAGGAUGAAGAAAGAAUGCCAACUAUCAUCACAAUAGAAUCGAAGAGCCUCCGGACAGAGAAUUGACGUUGUAGUUGAGAACCAAUAACGAAAAACAAGAUAGUAGUGGGCUUAAGAAAAUCAUCUCAACAAAUAUGAGGUGACAACCAACCACUAAAAGAAACAAGGAUAGCUGCAAGUAAAGAUAUCAAAACUUCUUACACCAAGAGGGUGCAUUGAGAACUUGGAUUAAUGACAAGCACCACAAUAGCAACAAUCCAUAGGAAAAGCUUUAGGUGAAAUCCAAACCAAGAUAGCUCAAUGAAGAAAUCAUGGGUUGAAAUAUCUCAUGAUCAUAGAAUUGGCGGGUUUAAUUAUCUCAUCUUGAGAGGCAAUCUCUUCGAGACUCCUACACUAACAAGAAUGCUAUAAUACCACCCCAAAGGAUAAAGGAAGAACAAUUGCACAUAUAAAUGCAAGAGAAAGGAUACUAGAGGUUCUCCAACAAGAAUCUUGAAGAACACUUCAGAACGAAUUGAAACCUUGAUGAACCACCAUGAAGGACCACCGUAUACACAUGAAUGAUGCAAAGAUAUCAAGGAAGAAAAGAAUAAGAUUAUGACCUUGCCAGGAUUUAGAUGAAGCUUCACAAAGAGAUAGUUGAUAAAACUUGGAACUCCGGAAAAGAAAAGAUAAGAACACUUGAGAAAAGAAUUGAUAUCGUGAGCCACUCCGGAAGAAGAAUUCAGAUUACUAUGAAGAGAAUAAGAAUUAUGUUAUGCUUAUCCUUCAUCAAGUAUAAUUGAUGACAAGUCACGGAUUUAGCAUACCACUUAUUCCUCUUGAAAGAAUCUGGAAGAGAUAGAGAGAUAAGCACCACUUGAAGUAUAAACGAAGGAAACACCGGUAAGAAUUCACAAUUAAAUGGGAACACCACGAAUUAAUGGAGAUACAUGAAAAUGAAGAGAUCAUAAUCCACCUAACAGAAAACUAGAACAAGGCACCGGAUGAACGAGAGACGAACGAAGAGACAACAAUUGAGAAGAAUUGAGGAUGAAAGCUGAAAGUUGAGAACGAAAAAUCUUCUGAAAUGAUGGCCUUCGGAGGAUCGAGAAUGAAAACAAUUCAGAAAAGCAUCGGAUAGCACGAAAGGAAUUACUCAUGAUUGACAACAAAUGAGAGGAUACACGAAGCUGAGAUUAUAGUCUUCACAAGAAUGGAACAAGACUGAGAGAAACACUCCUUCGAAUUGCAAGCUGUGAAUGAUGACGAGAAACAACACCAAGAAUACUGAGACACUCCGGAAUAAAGAAGAAUGAAAGGUUGAGCCAAAGAAUGAAUUAAUUCAAAUAGAUCUUGAAGAAGGGAUAUGACUGGUAGAAAUCAUACUUACGUCAUAGUUGAAAAGAAUUAAUGAUCUCCGGGAAAAGAUUAAAAGAGCUAGAAAAGAUCCUGGGAAAGAACCUGUGGGUUAUGGGCCCACUGAAAAGAAAACACCGUUGGAAAGAUUGCUUAGAAGAGAGAUAUUGCACCGGUAUAAAUGACAACUAGAUGAGGCUGAGCACCUUGAAAUAAAUGAAAGAAUUGAAAACAAGAAUUUCUGAAAUAUCUUUAACACUCCGGAUAGAAAGAGAGAGGAAUUAAUAACAAGAUAGUGUGAUAAAAAUUCCCAACAAAGGAAAGAAUUACAAGGAUGAAUGGAUAUGAUGAACACAGACAACUGGAUCAAAUUCACCGUGAAGGAACAAAAUGAAGAAAUGAUGAACUCGACUCCUGACAAUCUUCACAAUGAAUCACCGGUUACGAAAGGAAGAAAAGAUAGCGGAAGCAUCAUUGAAAUGAAAUGCAGUUGGAUGAAAUCCAAUCACUGAAGAAAAAGGGCGGGAGGGCGGGGAAAAACAAAGACAACUUGGGCUAGAUGAGAUGAACUCCGGAAUAAAAUGAGAGAAUGAUCUUGCAAAAAUUGGAGAGGAUUGACUCCACUUGGAGAGAAACACACCGGUUGAAAAGAAUUGAUAUAAAAACUCCGGUUGACAAGAAUUGAUAAGACGAUUGAUUGAGCAAAACGAUUAGCACUCUCAUAUGAAUAUGAGAACACUGCUUAGAAAAGAUCUAAAAUCACCACUUGACAUCGAAACAACUUGAAUUACCAUAUUCCAACAAAACAAAGGGUGAGGCUUAUGAAACAAGCCAGAACAAACUCAUGAGAAAGAUUUCGUCCGAUAUCUUCGUGGACGGAAUCCACUAGAUGUCGAACCCCAACCUAACAUCAUGCAUUUGUUGGAAGAUUAUCCUAUAAGUAACUACUUGAAUUCCCACCUAUGAAUUCCUGAAAUAUCUGGUCAUGCAAUCUGGUACACGGAUACAAGGAGUAAUAUCACACAACUCCUAUACUAACCCGUAACCUGUAUCACAUCCGUCAACACACAACCAGAAUCUCGGACCUUCAUCUAAAACAGACCCUCAUGAUCACAAUGAUACAAAGUAUGGCAGUACUCCCGAACAAUCUACACCAGUACUGGGGACAUCGGGGGUUAUCUCGCCACUACUAGUAUUGAAGCAAUUACGAACAUCCUUCGUUCUGAGAUACUCAGAAAUCUGAAUGAUAACGAUGUGCUCAAGAAUCCCCUGGAGCUCAACUCCCCUGAAACUUAAAGCAGAUAGGAGGCACCAAGACAGAACUCCGUCACAUCGGCAUCAUAUAAAUCUCAAAAAUAUCCGCGUGAUCCUAAACAAUUUUAAGUGAGAAGAGGAGUAGAAUUAAAUUAUUACGUCAAGAUUCCUCACCAGAGCAUAGAAGAGGAGAAAAAAGAAUCCUACUCUCCGAUAUAUAACUAGACUCAAAGUAUUUUUUCGCUAGACUCGACUCGACCAAGUUCGAUUAAUCAAGGGGGCUCCUAGGUCGGUACGGCUCUGAUACCAACUUGUCACGCCCAAGAUGCGACCCUAUCCUCAAUUUGGCACGAAGACCUCGUUAGGGAUAGAAGCGCAUCUCGUCGUGUCGCAAGAAUGGAUAUCGUUACGAGUACAUGUACUAAAAAGAAGAGAUAUAUAGAUAGAAUUGGCUUACACUCGCCACAAGCUACAUCAGAGUCACAUCAGUACAUUACAUAAUCAUCAAGAGUAAGAGCAGGGACCGAGUACGGACGAAAACAAACGAGAAAAGAAGAACGACGUCGAUCCUUGCUAUCCCAGGCUGCCAGCCUGGAACCCAUCCUAGAUCGAUGAAGAAGAAGAAGAAGAAGCAACUCCAAAUGAACAAUCAACACGCUCGCGUCAAGUAACCUUUACCUGUACCUCCAACUGGUGUUGUAGUAAUCUGUGAGCCACAGGGGACUCAACAAUCUCAUUUCCAAAGGUAUCAAGACUAGCAAAGCUUAAUGGGUGAGGCAUGGCUAAGUGGUGAGGUUGCAGCAGCGGCUAAGCAUAUAUUUGGUGGCUAAACUUACGAGUACAAGAAAUAAGAGGGGGAAGAUCUACGCUUAGCGGGCGUGAACUACGGAUGAUCAAAUGAAUGAUCCUGAACACCUACCUACGUCAGACAUAACCCCACCGUGUCCUCGAUCGGAGAAGGAACUCACGAAAGAGACAGUCACGGUUACGCACACAGUUGACAUAUUUUAAUUAAGUUAACUUCAAGUUAUCUAUAACGAGUGUUAAACAAAGUUUCCACGUUUCCACAUAACCGCGGGCAUGGCUUUCCGAAAGAUUUAACCUUGCAGGGGUGCUCCAACUAGUCCAUUACAAAUUACCACAAGCCGCAUAGAAAUCCUCAAUCACGAAGCUCGCGAUCUCGUCGGAUUCCCUAGUGGAAAACCUCAACUCUGAGAUUACCCAAAGCAUCACCGGAAUCCCGAUGCACAAGAUAUUCCGUCAAAGGUAAAACUAAACCAGCAAGGCCGCCCGGAGUGUCAACGAUACCGAUAGGAGCCGCGUAUCACGUUCUCAGGACAUGACGGAUAAGCACAGCGUACGGUGGCCUGAUAGAAAUCUCCCGAGUUGCCCCGGGUUGGCCCCGCAAACGGCUCUAGUUUUGGACCAGCACCAACAGCACUAGCCCCCCUGUAUUAUGUGAAAUUACUCCUCGGGUUCAUGACGCCCUAUGCUUUCAGUAUUAACAAGUUAUUAUGUUGGGCAAAUGUAGUACCAAUGUUGGGCCUUUCCAGACCAGCUUUAAUCUAAAACGAAUUAUCAAGGGGGUCCCCAUAACAACCCCGAUCGUGUUAGGGGCGCUCGUUUAUGGAACAUAACACCGGUAGCCGAAACUAAGGGGGGCAAAGGUGGAACAAAACACCAGGCUAGAAAGGCUGAGCCUUCCACCUUUUACCAAGUAUAUAGGUGCAUUAAAAUAAAUAGCAUUUAAUAUGGUGAUAUGACAAGGAACCCAUGUUAACACAUGGAAGCAACUUCACCUGCAACUAGCAACGUUAACAACAUGGUUAAGCAAGCGGUAACAUAGCCAAUCAGUGGUUUGCUAGGUCGAAAAGGUUGAAGGUAAUCAUGGCAUUAUUGAGAGGCUGAUAUUUAACAGGUGGUAGGCAACGAGACAUAAUCGAAAUCAUCGAAAUAACUAGCAUGGCAAUGAUAGUAAUGGUAUCUGGGGAAAUGGUCAUCUUGCCUGAGAUCCUGCUUGUGAGAAGAAUGACUCCGUGAAGCAGACGAACCAACAUAGUCGAACGGGUCCUCACAUUCCGACACGCUUGCGGAACUCUAUCGAGAUGGAGCAAACCGGAGACAAACAUCAACACAGAUAUUCACCACACGAUGCACAACAUGAUGCAUAACCUACUAUGAUGCAUGAUCAGUUCAAUGAUGCAAGGGAUGGCAUGGCAAUUCACCUCACACAAACUCUACACAUUAAAUGAAGCUCGAUAUGCAACGAGUGGCAUACCGACGGAACUCCACGUUUAAUUUUUUAAUUCACUCCCGUUUAUUUACAUGGCAAUAUUAAAUUGUUGUUAACAUGGCAAGGGGUGAAGCGGUGAUCCUACAUGGCAUCCUAGACGGUUUAACUCGCGGAACAUAGAACGGAGCUACAGCACAAAAGACAUGCAACAUAAUAUAUAUGCCAUGAAUGCGUCAUGCAUGCAAGUUCACAACAACACGGGCAAGAAGAGAAGAAGCAGGUGUCGCCACGGCGAGCGAGAGGGAACCAAGGCGGCAAAACGGAGACGAUGCCAUGGCAACGUUUCAGUCCCGAUAACUCGAAGAGGUAUCGGUGCCAACGAAUUUUGAGCAUGUGCGUGUCAUGCCCAAGAAUGAUGGGGUGAUCUACGGUUACCGGGUUCCCAUGUGUCAGGGCACGACAAAAGAGAAACAACGUGCAGCUAACAUGGCCUAUACGAAACAGACAACAGCACACUCAUACAACAAUGCGUGCCUCUAAAAUAACAAAAUCGCAGCAGGGAACUAUAUGCAUGGCCGAAUUACAACAUAGUGUAUAGGGCCAGAAUUGUAUCAAGCCCGACGUGUGAGUGUGCAACAAGUGGCCUAGUCAAAAACAAGAAAAAUAAUUGGAGCAUCCUGGAUUCGAACCCAGGACCUCCCUGGUGCUAGCGCUGCUCACUGCCCAACUGGUUACAACAGACUGUGACAAAACCCUCGCUAAAUACCUAUGUAAGGAGCUAACCUGAACCGAAUAAAUAAACAAAAGGAAAAAAUAGGGUUGUCUGGGAUUCGAACCCAGACCUCCCGGCUGGAUACAAGGGCGCUAACCACUGCAUUGGUACAAGUGCUUAUGCAAAAAUGUGGGUGUUAAUUAUUCUAAACUAACUCCACUGCCAGGUCUUCUCACCAUCGAUUCGUGAAGAACCUGCCGCGACGGAAGUCAACAGCAGCUGCGGCUGUAGUAGCGGGGGCCGGUGGGGGAGGCUCUGGUGACGCCGUCUCUGGCCGAGGUCGCUGGAUCCGGCCCUUGCUAGGUCCUGCGGCGCAGGGGCGAGGCGAGCUGGGGCCUGCGGUGGUGCCCCGGCGAGGCUCCGACCAGCAAGGCGAGGCGGGGGAUGCGCGCUGCACAAACUUGAGACCGGGGACGACGAAUCCGCCAUGGCUGCCUGGACCUAGAGAACACAGAGAGAAAUUAGGGAGGGAGAGAGGAAGAAUGGGAAGGCACAAGAAGGAGAGGGCCGACGAGGCUUCCUGGGGGUUCAACGCCGGCGCGGGGCUCUUGGAUGCGGCGGGAUCGACGAGGCACCGGGGCAUGUGGUGCACAGGGCCGAGCCUCGGGAGCGGGGCCAUGGCUGUGGGAAGAGAGGCGGCGCGCGGGGCACAGCAGGCGGCAGGCAGGCGAGGGGGAAGACACUCGAGGAGAUGGGGAUCGAGGGAACGGGGGGAGAUGACGCAGGAGGGACGAGGGGAUCGGGCUCCUGGCGCUAGGGCAGGAGAGGCUUGGGCCUGGCCUGCGAGUUGGGCCUCCUUCAAAAAAAAUCUUAAACAAAGGAAAACUUUUAACGGGGGGGGGGGGGGGUAAAAUGCUUUUGCUUCUUUGAAAAUUAUACCCAACUAUAAAAUAGACUGGGCUUUUUAAAACAAAUAAAAAUGAAACCUUUUUUUGAGAAUCAAAAUGGAACCCUUUUUUAACAAGAGAAUAAAACCCUUUUCUUACAAAAGAAUAAACCAAACCCCUUUGAAGAAAUAAAUAAAACCUCUUUAUUUAAAGAAUAAAAUAAGAGCUCUUUAAAGGAGAAAAGAAAAUGGGACGGGUUUUUAGAAAAAUAAACAAAAGGGAAAAUAAAGGAAACCCAAGGGGUGGCCCCACAUUUAACAAAAGUUUUUUUUUAAAAAGAAGAUGCUUUUUUUUAAAUAGGGGUUUAAACGAAGACUUCAGCAAAACCAUAAAAACGAAAUAAGAGGGGAGAGUGGAAGUUACUAUCGCACUACGACUCGGUGAACACUCGAAGCACAACACUCAAAACACCACACGCGACAUACGAUGCAAGAUGCCAUGCAUGAUGCGAUGAUGCAAACUAAAUGAUGAUGCAACUAAUAAAACUAAUCACACGACGGAAACGAAAAUAACAGGGGAAUCUUCUGGGGCGUCGGUCUCGGGCUGUCACAAUCUGUAUGAGAGAUAGGGAUCUCUGUGCUUCAAUGCUACGCAUAUAUAUGCAUAUUAAAUUUGAUUUAAAUACUACACAAAUUGGGAUUUUUAAUGCUACAUACAUGUAUGCUUAUUAGAUUGGGUCCCUAUUAGAUUUGUUUUUGAAUGCUACGCAUAUUGAGGUUUUGAAUGUCAUGUGCCCAAAUGGAAUCCAUUGACUAAGAAGUUAUUUGAUUCAUUAGUAUAUAAAUUUGUCAACAAUAUGUAGUUAUAUUAGCUCUAUUGUUCAAUGUGUGUGCAUGACAAUGGAAAAUGCAAAUAACCCUAGUAUAUUAGCCCUAUGAUCAAUGUGUCAUGUGUGCAUCUCUAAAUUUUCAAUUGGCUUCUGUAUUUACUAGUGAUGGAUGUAAUUGUAUAUUCAGGAGGAUGAUGGAUGGGGGAAAAAGAGGAAGUUGGCCUUUACUGGGUUCGACCCAUACGAUCUAGAGUAUAGUGACGACGAAGAAUAUGAGGUAAGCCUACUUGAAAUUUAGAUUGUUCAUUUAGUUCCUUCGACAUGGUGUAUAUGAAUCUAUAAUGUAUUAAUGCAAUUCAUUCAUGUGUGCAGUAUGAUUCUGGAGAAGAUGUGUACAAGGGCAACCUCAAGUCCUUCAAAGCUAAGGAGGUGGAGAAGAUCAAGGCCAAGGGAGUUGCUUCCUUCUUCAACCGCAAGAUCAAGAAGUGGCGCUGCCCCUACUGCACCACCAAGCCAAAGCCAAAGGAUGGCUGCUUCGAUCACCUUGUGUCUCAUGCAGAGGAUGUAGCGAAUCGCGGGGAGGACUACAUCAUCAGGGGGGUAGCAUGCUACCCUCGCGAAGGCACUGACUUCGGUGUGAUGUGAUGAUGUGAUGAACUGAAUGUGGCAGCAUGUUUUAUCUUUAUCUUUUGGGUUACUUUUGGUAAACUGAAUGUGGCUGUUGUUGGCAAUAUACCCUAGAGGCAAUAAUAAAAUGGUUAUUAUCAUAUUUCCUUGUUCAUGAUAAUCGUCUAUUAUUCAUGCUAUAAUUGUAUUAACAGGAAACAGUAAUACAUGUGUGAAUAAAUAGAUCACAAUGUGUCCCUAGCAAGCCUCUAGAUGGCUAGCUCGUUACUCAAUAGAUGAUCAUGGUUUCCUGGUCAUGGGCAUUAGAUGUCAUUGAUAACAGGAUCACAUCAUUGGGAGAAUGAUGUGAUGGACAAGACCCAAUCCUAAGCAUAGCACUAGAUCGUAUUGUUCGUAUGCUAAAGCUUUUCUAAUGUCAAGUAUCUUUUCCUUGCAAUAAGUUUGGUAGGGAGGUACCAAAGUGAUCCCGGUAUGGAACACUGGACAGCGGUCAAGAAUAUCCUUAAGUACCUGAAAAGGACUAAGGAAAUGUUUCUCGUUUAUGGAGGUGACGAAGAGCUCGUCGUAAAGGCUUACGUCGGCGCUAGCUUCGACACAGAUCCGGAUGACUCUAAGUCACAGACCGGAUACGUAUAUGUGUUGAAUGGUGGGGCAGUGAGUUGGUGCAGCAGCAAUCAAGAAGUAGUGGCAGCAUCUACAUGUGAAGCGGAGUACAUAGCUGCUUCAGAAGCAGCUCAUGAAGGAAUUUGGAUGAAGGAGCUCAUCACCGACCUUGGAGUGGUUCCAAGCGCGUCGGGUCCAAUGAAACUCUUCUGUGAUAACACUGGGGACAUUGCCACAGCCAAGGAGCCCAGGUUUCACUGGAAGACGAAGCACAUCAAACCCCGCUAAAACUCCAUCCAGGACCAUGUCCAGAGUGGAGUGAUAGAUAUUUGUAAAGUACACACGGAUCUGAAUAUUGCAGACCCGUUGAGUAAACCUCUUCCACGAGCAAAACAUGAUCAACACCAUAAUGCUAUGGGUGUUCGAUACAUCACAGUGUAACUAGAUUAUUGACUCUAGUGCAAGUGGGAGACUGUUGGAAAUAUACCCUAGAGGCAAUAAUAAAAUGGUUAUUAUCAUAUUUCCUUGUUCAUGAUAAUCGUCUAUUGUUCAUGCUAUAAUUGUAUUAACAGGAAACAGUAAUACAUGUGUGAAUAAAUAGAUCACAAUGUGUCCCUAGCAAGCCUCUAGUUGGCUAGCUCGUUAGUCAAUAGAUGAUCAUGGGCAUUAGAUGUCAUUGAUAACGGGAUCACAUCAUUGGGAGAAUGAUGUGAUGGACAAGACCCAAUCCUAAGCAUAGCACUAGAUCGUAUUGUUCGUAUGCUAAAGCUUUUCUAAUGUCAAGUAUCUUUUCCUUCGACCGUGAGAUUGUGCAACUCCCGGAUACCAUAGGAGUGCUUUGGGUGUAUCAAACGUCACAACAUAACUGGGUGACUAUAAAGGUGCACUACGGGUACCUCCGAAAGUGUUUGUUGGGUUGGUACGAAUCGAGAUCGGGAUUUGUCACUCCGUGUGACGGAGAGGUAUCUCUGGGCCCACUCGGUAGAACAUCAUCAUGAGCUCAAUGUGACUAAGGAGUUAGUCACAUGAUGACGUGCUACGGAACGAGUAAAGAGACUUACCGGUAAAGAGAUUGAACAAGGUAUAGGUAUACCGACGAUCGAAUCUCGGGCAAGUUCUAUACCGACAGACAAAGGGAAUCGUAUACGGGAUUAAUUGAAUCCUUGAGAUUGUGGUUCAUCCGAUGAGAUCAUCGUGGAGCAAGUGGGAGCCACCAUGGGUAUCCAGACCCCGCUGAUGGUUAUUGGCCGGAGAGGUGUCUCGGUCAUGUGGGGCUGUCUCCCGAACCCGUAGGGUCUACACACUUAAGGUUCGGUGACGCUAGGGUUAUAGGGAAUUGUUAUACGAGGUUACCGAAAGUUGUUCGGAGUCCCGCAUGAUAUCCCGGACGUCACUAGGAGCUCCGUAAUGGUCCGGAGGUAAAGAUUGAUAUAUAGGACGGAUGGUUUCAGACACCGGAAGUGUUUCGGACAUCACCGGUAACGUACCGGGACCACCGGGACCAUCGGAGGUGGCCCCGGGGGUCCACCGAAGGGGGGCAACGACCCCGGGAGGUAAGGUGGGCCAAGUGGGGAAGGGAACCAGCCCUAGGUGGGCUGGUGUGCCUCCCCACUCAGCCCAAUGCGUGGGGGAGAGAAAAGGGGGGGGGCAAACCCUAAGCCAGGUGGGCCUAAGGCCCACCAGGGGUGCGCCACACCCCUUCUCCCCCCCCUUUGGCCGCCGCACCAGACCCCAUCUAGGGAUGCCGCCCCCCCUGGAGAGGGAAACCCUCAAGGGGGCGCAGCCCCUCCCUCCCCCUAUAUAUAGUGGGCACUUUUGGCCAUUGGAGAUCAGACUUUUGCCUCUCUCUCGGCGCAGCCCUGCCCUUCUUCCUCCUCCUCUCUGCCGGUGCUUGGCGAAGCCCUGCCGGGAGACCUCGUCUCUCCAUCGACACCAUGCCAUCGUGCUGCUGGAGUUCUUCCCCAACCUCUCCCUCCACCUUGCUGGAUCAAGGUGCGGGAGACAUCACCGGGCUGCACGUGUGUUGAACGCGGAGGUGCCGUAGUUCGGCACUAGAUCGAAAUCGCUGCGAGUACGACUCCAUCAACCGCGUUCUAGCAACGCUUCCGCUUAGCGAUCUUCAAAUGUAUGAAGAUGCUCUUACCCCUCUCUCAUUGCUGGUCUCUCCAUAUGAAGAUCUGAAUAUGCGUAGGAAAAUUUUGAAUUUAUGCUACGUUACCCAACAGUGGCAUCCGAGCCAGGUUUUCUAUGCGUAGAUUCUAUGCACGAGUAGAACACAAAAUUUGUGGGCGAUGAUAUGUCAAUUUGCUUGCCGCUACUAGUCUUAUUCUUUUCCGGCGGUAUUGUGGGAUGAAGCGCCCCGGACCGACUUUACACGUACGCUUACGUGAGACUGGUUCCACCGACAGACAUGCACACCGUGCAUAAAGGUGGCUAGCGGGUGUCUGUGUCUCCUACUCUAGUCGGAUUAGAUUUGAUGAAAAGGGUCCUUGUGAAGGGUAAAUAGCUUUGGCAUAUCAUCGUUGUGGCUGUCACGUAGGUAAGAAGACGUUCUUGCUAGAAACCCAAAUCAGCCACGUAAAACUUGCAACAACAAUUAGAGGACGUCUAACUUGUUUUUGCAGGGUUUGACAUGUGAUGUGAUAUGGCCAAAGGUGUGAUGUUGCAUGUAUGAUGUAUGAGAUGAUCAUGUUGUUGUAAUAGGUUUCACGACUUGCAUGUCGAUGAGUAUGACAAUCGGCAGGAGCCAUAAGAUUUGUCUUCAUUUAUUGUAUGAGAUGCAACGCUAUAGUAGUAGUGAUAGUAGUAGUUGGGGUGACGACUUCACGGAGACACGAUGAUGGAUAUCAUGAUGAUGGAGAUCAUGGUGUCACGCCGGUGACAAUGAUGAUCAUGCGAUGCCUGAAGAUGGAGAUCGAAAGAGCAAAGAUGAUAAUGGCCAUAUCAUGUCACUAUAUGAUUGCAUUGUGAUGUUUAUCAUGUUUUACAUCUUAUUGCUUAGAACGACGGUAGCAUAAUAAGAUGACCCCUCUUAAAAUUUCGAGAACGUAUUCCCCUAAGUGUGCACCGUUGUGAAGGUUCGUUGUCUCGAAGCACCACGUGAUGAUCGGGUGUGAUAGAUUCUAACGUUCGCAUACAAUGGGUGUAAGCCAGAUUUACACACGCAAAACACCUAGGUUGACUCGACGAGCUUAGCAUGUACAAACAUGACCUCGAAUACAAGAUACCGAAAGGUCGAACAUGAGUCGUAUGGUUGAAUACGAUCAGCAUGAAGUUGCUCACCAUGGUGACUAGUCCGUCUCACGUGAUGAUCGGACACGGCUUAGUCAACAUGGAUCAUGUAUCACUUAGAUGACUAGAGGGAUGUCGAUUUAAGUGGGAGUUCAUACUUAAUUUGAUUAAAUGAACUUAAUUGUCAUGAAAUUAGUCUAAAAGUUGUCUUUAUAAAUAUUGUAGAUGGCCAACGUCAACCUCAAUUUCAACGCAUUCCUAGAGAAAAACAAGCUGAAAGAUGAUGGUGGCAACUAUGCGGACUGGGUUCGCAACUUGAAGCUCAUCCUUGAAGCAGCUAAAAAGGCUUAUGUCCGUGAUGCGCCGCUAGGUGACCCUCCCGCUCCCGUAGCAGCCUUGGAAAUUCUGAACGUCUGGCAAACGCGGAGUGAUGACUACUCUCUAGUUAGGUGUGGCAUGUUAUACAGUUUAGAAACGGGGCUCCAAAGGCGUUUUGAGCAACACGGAGCAUAUGAGAUGUUCCAAGAGCUGAAGCUAGUUUUUCGAGCUCAUGCCCGUGUCGAGAGAUAUGAAGUCUCCGACAAGUUCUUUAGCUGUAAGAUGGAGGAGAACAGUUCUGUCAGUGAGCACAUACUCAAAAUAUCUGGGUUACACGGUCGUCUAACUGCACUUGGAGUCGAACUUCCGGAUGAUGUUAUAAUCGACAGAAUCCUCCAGUCUCUCCCACCAAGCUACAAAGGCUUUGUGCUUAACUACAACAUGCAAGGGAUGGAAAAGACCAUUCCUGAGUUGUACUCGAUGCUCAAGUCUGCAGAAGUAGAAAUCAAGAAAGAGCAUCAAGUGUUGAUGGUUAACAAGACCACUAGUUUCAAGAAAGGCAAGGGUAAGAAGAACUUCAAGAAAGACGGCAAAGCUGUUGCCACGCCCGGUAAGCCAGAUGCCGGGAAGAAGAAAAAGAAUGGACCCAAGCUUGAGACUGAGUGCUUCUAUUGCAAGGGAAAAGGUCACUGGAAGCGGAACUGCCCCAAAUACUUAGCGGACAAGAAGGCCAGCAACAUUAAAGGUAUACGUGAUAUACAUGUUAUUGAUGUGUACGUUACCAGCGCUCGUAGUAGCUCCUGGGUAUUUGAUACCGGUGCUGUUGCUGACAUUUGCAACUCAAAGCACGAACUGCGGAAUAAGCGGAGACUGGCCAAGGACGAGGUGACGAUGCGCGUGGGGAAUGGUUCCAAAGUCGAUGUGAUCGCCGUCGGAAUGCUACCUCUACAUCUACCGUCGGGAUUAGUUUUAAACCUUAAUAAUUGUUAUUUAGUACCAGCUUUGAGCAUGAAUAUUGUACCAGGGUCUUGCUUAAUGCGAGACGGCUACUCAUUUAAGUCAGAGAAUAAUGGUUGUUCUAUUUAUAUGAGUGAUAUGUUUUAUGGUCAUGCUCCGCUGGUGAAUGGUUUAUUCUUGAUGAAUCUCGAUCGUGAUGUUACGCAUAUUCAUAGUGUGAGUACCAAAAUAUGUAAAGUUGAUAAUGAUAGUCCCACAUACUUGUGGCACUACCGCCUUGGUCAUAUCGGCGUUAAGCGCAUGAAGAAGCUCCAUACUGAUGGACUAUUAGAGUCUCUUGACUUUGAAUCAUUUGACACAUGCGAACCGUGCCUCAUGGGCAAGAUGACUAAGACUCCAUUCUCAGGAAUGAUGGAGAGAGCAACCGACUUAUUGGAAAUAAUACAUACUGAUGUGUGUGGUCCAAUGAACGUUGAAGCUCGCGGUGGCUAUCGUUAUGUUCUCACUCUCACCGAUGAUUUGAGCAGGUAUGGGUAUAUCUACUUAAUGAAGCACAAAUCUGAGACGUUUGAAAAUUUCAAGGAAUUUCAGAGUGAGGUUUAGAAUCAACGUGACAGAAAAAUAAAUGUCUGCGAUCUGAUCGUGGAGGGGAAUAUUUGAGUCACGAGUUUGGCACACACCUAAGGAAGUGUGGAAUCGUUUCACAACUGACGCCGCCUAGCACACCGCAACGCAACGGAGUGUUUGAACGUCGUAAUCGCACUUUAUUAGAUAUGGUACGAUCUAUGAUGUCUCUUACCGACCUACCGCUAUCAUUUUGGGGAUACACAUUAGAAAGUGCAGCAUUCACUUUAAAUAGGGCACCAUCUAAAUCCGUUGAGACGACACCGUAUGAACUAUGGUUUGGCAAGAAACCUAAGUUGUCAUUUCUUAAAGUUUGGGGCUGCGAUGCUUAUGUGAAGAAACUUCAACCAGAAAAGCUCGAACCCAAAGCGGAGAAAUGUGUAUUCAUAGGAUACCCUAAGGAAACUAUUGGGUAUACCUUCUAUCUUAGAUCCGAAGGUAAGACCUUUGUUGCCAAGAACGGACCCUUUCUAGAGAAAGAGUUUCUCUCGAAAGAAGUAAGUGGGAGGAAGGUAGAACUUGAUGAGGUAAUUACACCCCCUCUCGAACAGGAUAGUAGCGCAGGACAGGAAGUUGUUCCUGUGGCGCCUACACCAACUGAAGAGGAAGUUAAUGAUGAUGAUCAUGAAGCUUCAGAUCAAGUUACUACUGAACCGUGAAGGUCCACGAGGGCAGGCUACGCACCAGAGUGGUAGGGCAACCCUGUGAUGGAAAUCAUGUUGUUAGACAAUGGUGAACCUUCGAACUAUGAAGAAGCAAUGGCGGGCCCGGAUUCCAACAAAUUGCUUGAGGCUAUGAAAUCUGAGAUAGGAUCCAUGUAUGAGAAAAUAAAUGGAUCUUCAAGAAGAAGACUGAUGCAAACGGUAAUGUAACCGUUUACAAAGCUCGACUUGUCGCAAAGGGUUUUCGACAAAUUCAAGGAGUUGACUACGAAGAGACUUUAUCUCCCAUAGCGAAGCUGAAAUCAGUCCGAAUCAUGUUAGCAAUUGUCGCCUUUUAUGAUUAUGAAAUUUGGCAAAUGGACGUCAAAACAGCGUUCCUUAACGGGAACCUUAAGGAAGAGUUGUAUAUGAUGCAACCAGAAGGUUUUGUCAACCCUAAGGGUGCUAACAAAGUGUGCAAGCUCCAGCGCUCCAUCUAUGGGCUGGUGCAAGCAUCUCGGAGUUGGAACAUUCUCUUUAAUGACGUGAUUAAAGCGUUUGGGUUCAUACAGGUUUACGGAGAAGCCUGUCUGUACAAGAAAGUGAGUGGGAGCUAUGUAGCUUUCCUCAUACUGUAUGUGGAUAACAUAUUAUUGAUGGGGAAUAAUAUAGAGAUGUUGGAGAGCAGAAAGGCCUAUUUGAACAAAAGUUUUUCAAUGAAGGACCUUGGAGAAGCUGCAUACAUAUUAGGCAUCAAUAUCUAUAGAGAUAGAUCAAGACGCCUCAUAGGUUUUUCGCAAAGUACAUACCUUGACAAGUUAUUGAAAGAAGUUCAAUAUGGAAAACUCAAAGAAAGGGUACUUGCUAGUUUUGCAAGGUAUGAGAUUGAGUAAGACUCAGUCGCCGACUACGACAGCAGAUAGAGGGAAGAUGAGUUAUGUCCCCUACGCUUCAGCCGUGGGCUCUCUAAUGUAUGCCAUGCUGUGUACCAGACCUGAUAUAAACCUUGCCAUAAGUUUGGUAGGGAGGUACCAAAGUGAUCCCGGUAUGGAACACUGGACAGCGGUCAAGAAUAUCCUUAAGUACCUGAAAAGGACUAAGGAAAUGUUUCUCGUUUAUGGAGGUGACGAAGAGCUCAUCGUAAAGGGUUACGUCGAUGCUAGCUUCGACUAGAUCCGGAUGACUCUAAGUCACAGACCGGAUACAUAUAUGUGUUGAAUGGUGGGGCAGUGAGCAGGUGCAGCAGCAAGCAAGAAGUCGUGGCAGCAUCUACAUGUGAAGCGGAGUACAUAGUUGCUUUAGAAGCAGCUCAUGAAGGGAUUUGGAUGAAGGAGCUCAUCACCGACCUUGGAGUGGUUCCAAGCGCGUCGGGUCCAAUGACACUCUUCUGUGAUAACACUGGGCCAUUGACAUAGCCAAGGAGCCCAGGUUUCACCGGAAGACGAAGCACAUCAAACGCCGCUACAACUCCAUCCAGGACCAUGUCCAGACUGGGGAGAUAGAUAUUUGUAAAGUACACACGGAUCUGAAUAUUGCAGACCCAUUGACUAAACCUCUUCCACGAGCAAAACAUGAUCAACACCAUAAUGCUAUGGGUGUUCGAUACAUCACAAUGUAACUAGAUUAUUGACUCUAGUGCAAGUGGGAGACUGUUGGAAAUAUACCCUAGAGGCAAUAAUAAAAUGGUUAUUAUCAUAUUUCCUUGUUCAUGAUAAUCGUCUAUUGUUGAUGCUAUAAUUGUAUUAACAGGAAAUAGUAAUACAUGUGUGAAUAAAUAGAUCACAAUGUGUCCCUGGCAAGCUGCUAGUUGGCUAGGUCGUUAGUCAAUUGAUGAUCAUGGUUUCCUGAUCAUGGGCAUUAGAUAUCAUUGAUAAAGGGAUCACAUCAUUGGGAGAAUGAUGUGAUGGACAAGACCCAAUCCUAAGAAUAGCACUAGAUCGUAUUGUUCGUAUGCUAAAGCUUUUCUAAUGUCAAGUAUCUUUUCCUUCGACCGUGAGAUUGUGCAACUCCCGGAUACCGUAGGAGUGCUUUGGGUGUAUCAAACGUCACAACAUAACUGGGUGACUAUAAAGGUGCACUACGGGUACCUCCGAAAGUGUUUGUUGGGUUGGUACGAAUCGAGAUCGGGAUUUGUCACUCCGUGUGACGGAGAGGUAUCUCUGGGUCCACUCGGUAGAACAUCAUCAUGAGCUCAAUGUGACUAAGGAGUUAGUCACACGAUGACGUGCUACGGAACGAGUAAAGAGACUUACCCGUAACGAGAUUGAACAAGGUAUAGGUAUACCGACGAUCGAAUCUCGGGCAAGUUCUAUACCAACAGACAAAUGGAAUCGUGUACGGGAUUAAUUGAAUCCUUGACAUUGUGGUUCAUCCGAUGAGAUCAUCGUGGAGCAAGUGGGAGCCACCAUGGGUAUCCAGACCCCGCUGAUGGUUAUUGGCCGGAGAGGUGUCUCGGUCAUGUCUGCCUGUCUCCCGAACCCGUAGGGUCUACACACUUAAGGUUCGGUGACGCUAGGGUUAUAGGGAAUUGUUAUACGAGGUUACCGAAAGUUGUUCGGAGUCUCGGAUGAGAUCCUGGACGUCACGAGGAGCUCCGGAAUGGUCCGCAGGUAAAGAUUGAUAUAUACGACGGAUGGUUUCGGACAUCACCGGAGGUGGCCCUGGGGGUCCACCGAAGGGGGGCAACGACCCCGGGAGGUAAGGUGGGCCAAGUGGGGAAGGGAACCAGCCCCUAGGUGGGCCGGUGUGCCUCCCCACUCAGCCCAAUGCGUGGGGGAGAGAAAAGGGGGGGGGCAAACCCUAAGCCAGGUGGGCUUAAGGCCCACCAGGGGUGCGCCACACCCCUCCUCCCCCCCUUUGGUCGCCGCACCAGCCCCCAUCUAGGGCUGCCGCCCCCCAGGAGAGGGAAACCCUCAAGGGGGCGCAGCCCCUCCCUCCCCCUAUAUAUAGUGGGCACUUUUGGCCAUUGGAGAUCAGACUUUUGCCUCUCUUUCGGCGCAGCCCUGCCCUUCUUCCUCCUCCUCUCUGCCGGUGCUUGGCGAAGCCCUGCCGGGAGACCUCGUCUCUGCAUCGACACCACGCUGUCGUGCUGCUGGAGUUAUUCCCCAACCUCUCCCUCCUCCUCGCUGGAUGAAGGUGCGGGAGACGUCACCGGGCUGCACGUGUGUUGAACGCGGAGGUGUCGUAGUUCGGCACUAGAUCGAAAUCGUUGCGAGUACGACUCCAUCAACCGCGUUCUAGCAACGCUUCCGCUUAGCGAUCUUCAAAGGUAUGAAGAUGCUCUUACCCCUCUCUCGUUGCUGGUCUCUCCAUAGGAAGAUCUGAAUAUGCGUAGGAAAUUUUUAAAUUUAUGCUACGUAACCCAACAGCUGUUUAUGAUGUGAUGAACUGAAUCUAUGGUAGUAAUGUAUUAGGGUACCCAAUGUAUUACGGGAAACCCAUGUUUUAUGCUAUCUAUAUUUGUCUGUCCUUAAAUUUGCAUGUGGUGUAUGGUUACUUCUGUUUAGAUAUUUUUUGAAUUAAUGUUCAUAUUUUUACAUUUUCUUUUGAAAAAUAUGGUUUAAUAUAAAAACUAUUAAAAAACACGUUUAAAAUAUGAAAAUGUCAAACUAAGUUCAGAUCCUUCUUAUUCACUUUGAAAUAAAGCUUUGGUGAUUUUUUUGAUUUUUUAAAUUUUUUCAAAAACAGAAGGUAACCCUAGCUCAUAUGUGUGAAGGUUUUCUCAUGAAAAUGGCCAUAGUUUUGUGUCCUUAAAUUUGCUUAUGGUGUAUGGUUACUUCUGUUUAGAUGUUGUGAACUAUGAGUUUAGGCGUUGCAAUGAUCACACAUGUUGUUUCAGUGUUGCUUCACUGAUUAGACAUGCUGCGAAAAAACCUUGGCAAACUAUCUAGGGUAACUAUCUAUGUUUGUAUAUGAGAUCAUGUGUGCAAAAUUUGAGAUGAUUUAGAGAAUGUCAAAGAAAAUUUAAUUUGAGAAAUGUGCUCCAAAUGAGCUCUCAAGCUAGGGUAAACAACCCCAUUUGUAAUCAGGUUUUUGUGGACCUACUCUAAAUGAGCCAAAUGUUUUUUAUUAACACAUAUUCAAUCUAUAUAGUGUAGAUUCGAAGUCUCACUAUUUUUUGAAUUAGUCUUCAUAUUUUUAUAUUUUCUUUUGAAAAAUAUGCUUUAAUAUAAAAACUAUUAAAAAGCACGUUUGAAAUAUGAAAAUGUAAAACUAAGUUCACAUCCUUCUUAUUCACUUUGAAAUAAAGCUUUGGUGAUUUUUUUGAUUUUUUAAUUUUUUUCAAAAACAGAAGGUAACCAUACCUCAUCUCCUUGAACUCUAUGAAAUCUUGUAGGUGAUAGCUCAUAUGUGUGAAGGUUUUCUCAUGAAAAUGAUCAUAGACCAAGUUUAUGAUUUUUGCUUGGUAACAUGUCACAUAAGACAACAUCGUGCGCAGGUUUCAUAUUUUUUGAUUUUUUUAAUAUUAAUGGUGCUCAUUUGACCUCGAUCGUGCCAGCUAGGGUUUUUUUCAUGAAAAUGACCAUAUACCAAGUUUAGUAUUUUUCCUCGUUAGUGUGUCUUAUAAAACAACGAAUGGCGAAGGUUUCAUAUUUUUUAGAUUUUUUUAAAUUAGUUAUGCUCAGUCAAAGCUUUCAUAACCCCGUUGACCAGCUCAAAACCCCUCUAAAUCCCGCGGGGUUUCGCCUAACCCUAGCUCCCAACGUCAGCCGUACGAUCACACCCUGGCGCCAAGCGACAGCCCUCGGAUGUGGUCUUCUAGAAGGAAUUCGGUGGGCAGGCUGCGUGCAGGCUCCGGGCCGUUGGAUCACAAGGAUGGCUCCGCAUCGUUGGAUCGUGCGGCGAUCCGCGAGAGGCGAUCCCGUUGGUUGUGCUCGGCUGCUCGCCCAUCACUGACUCUACAUCGUUUUUUGCAUCAUGUUUUCGCAUCUUUUUUUGCAACGUUUUUUGCAUCGUUUUUUGCGUCUUUUUUUGCAUCUUUUUUUUUGCAUCGUUUUUUCGCGUCAUUUUUUUGCAUCGUUUUUUCCAUCGUGUGUGAACGUGCUGACUCUUUCACAUUUGACCCCGAUCAUAGUCCACUCAUCAAACCAACCACAGUUUCCCACGCGUGUAAACUCCUGAUGCCGCGGUGGGUGUGAAAACGGGGCGGUUUAGGGUUUAGGUUACAAUGGCUAUUUAAGUCGGACGGACACUCCCCUCCCCCAACCGUAGCUCUUCGCCUGCUCCGUUUUCCCACCGGGACCCAAGCACUCCCCUCUCCCAGCCCAUCAGCCAUGCCGCCACGCCGCCAGUACUACACGAUCGAAGAAUGUCUCUACCUCCUUCGGCGGGCUCAAUUCCAGAGGCAAGCGGGGCUACCUCUAGAGGAUUUUGGGGAACCGGAGGAGGAGGCAUCGGAGGAGGAGGCGUCGCCGCAGGAGCUGGAGGUGGAGGCGUCGCCGCAGGAGGAGGCGACGCCGCAGGAGGAGGCGGACAUGGAGGCACCGCCGGUCUACUAUCUGUGGCCCGACCAAGUGGUGAUCAUCAACUCCAUCCGCUCGGAAGCAGCUGCGCAGACCCGACGUUUUCGUCAGCAGCAGAUGCAGGCAGCGCGGGCGGUGCAGGAGGAGGCACAUGUGGUGGCCCAAGAGGACCAGGCUCCGGCGCAGGCGGAUCAAGCCAUCUCCGACUACGAAGACGCAUAGUGCACUAGGCAGUAUGUAGAAUACAUAUUGUAUGAUUCCCUAUAUUGUUUGCUUUCGUCAUUAUGCUCUCUGAGCUAUGUUUGUUGAUACUUCAGCAUGUAUGCUUUCCUUAUUAUGCUCUGUGAGCUAUGUUUGUUGAUGCUUCAAAAUCCUAAUGCUUCAAAAAAUAUAUUACAUGCUUUUUGUUGAUGCUUCAAAGCCCUAAACCCUAAAAUACCUAAAACCUAACCCUAAACGUAGCACUGCACCCUAGCCUUGGUCUGUGGCACUUGGAAGGUGGAGACGCGUGCGAGAGGAGAGGAACCAGUGGCAGCGACUGUCACUACGUCCAUGACGGCGCGCAUGCACGCAGCCUAGCUCGAUCACAUGGCAUGCACAUCAAGCUUCACCGCUUCGGUAUCAUGGUGGUGCACGUCGAUUGGUAUGCCCUAGAGUUUAAUUGCCAUGUUGAAUUGAUGUUGCGGUGGUCAAAGGCUGAGAAGGUGUGAACUGUGAAUCGAUCGAGGAGGCGACAGACGCUACGUCCCGUGGCGGCUCACAGGAAGGCUGCAUCCGUGGUGGGGCGCAUCGACGCAUGCUGGCAGGCAGGUAGGCAGGCGAUUCAUGCCGCGCAUGCAUAACUUUAAUUGUCACGCUGAAUAGAUGCGAGUGGAUCGCGGAGACAAGCUUGUGACAUGAGAUGAACCAGCAGCAGCGACCGUCCCUGCGUCCGUGUCGGCUAGCAUGCAGAAAGAGGCCGGUCAGCGUAUGUGGCGGCUUGUGUGCAGAAAGAGGGGAGGUCAACGCAUCGUGGCGGCGGGCAUCAGCGCAUGGAGGCAGGCUAGCUACGUGCAUGCAUAACAGGCUCAUGUCGUUACGGCGCGCGCAGGGCCCAGCAGCGACCGAUGGAGGCGGGCUAGCUACGAGCAUGCAUAGCAGGCUCAUGUCGUUACGGCACGCACAGGGCCCAACAAUUUAACCACGGCCCAACGGGCUAACCGCGACACCAUCCGCCGCGACCCCACUCAUCAGGUCCAACGGGGGACACAUUCAACGCGGCCCCACUCGUCAGAAUUAACAGUCAAAGCACUGACCCGACGACAUCCACCGUUUGUGACCAGUUCUGAGGGUUUCAGCCAAAGGAGUAGGAAAAAGUAAGCAAAAGUUAAGAGCGUGAGGAUGAAUGAGUAGAGCUAACGAACCAUGGGCACAGAAAUAAAAAUCUCUAUUAUAAAUUGCAUCUAUUCAUAUGCAAGCACUUGCCAAAAAUUAUCCUACGAAUAAACAAACAUACGAACUAGGGGCAUACAAAUAAAAAUCUGUAUUAUAAAUUGCAUCUAUUCAUAUGCAAGCACUUGUUAAAAUUUAUCCUAGGAAUUUUUUUGCGGUACCGCGAGCAAGCGAGACGGAUUUAUGGGAUCUAUUUCGUCGAAUGGCUCUUGGUAUCACAAAAUACUUUUAAUGGAGCGAGUAAACGAUUUUUGCGGGGUGAGUUUUUAUCAGAUUCGUUAGAGUUGCUCUUACAACUCAAAAUAGUUGAGGAGUACCAAAGAAAUGUUGGGACCACAUGAGUUACACUAGGCCUUAAUAUACCAACACUAUACAAGUACAGUAUUAAAACGCAAUAGCAUGUGGUUGAGAUAAGAAAACAUGGCACGCAAUCACGUCUGCGUAUAUAUAUGAACAUAAAGUUCCAUCUCCAACAAAGCUGGCGAUAACUAAGAGCUUCCGAAUUCCCACCAAUACCGCGUUUGGUAUGAAUGAAUCCGAUACGAAUAAACAAACAUACGAAGAAACAAAAAACGUGUAUCCGUGUCAUCAACUCCACGCCCAAAAAGUAAAAAAGCGCCGCCAACAGCUCCGUCCCCUUUCCGCGCCCACACUGGUGGCGCACGAAGCGCCUACGUGGCCCGAUCGAGGUCGUCGGCUCAGCCUGGCCCAACCACCGCCGGUGGUUUCCCUCCGUCCGCGUCCUCUGAGAUCACCUCACCUCGCUGACUCAGAUCCUCCUCUGGAGUCAAAUCCUCAUCAGCCUCGACGCAUCACCGGCGAUUCGCUAGCUAAUUAUUUCCGUCCAGAAAAACAACGCGGCCCGCUCCCAAUGAUCACUCCGUCCCGUUGUUGCCGUGUAGCUGUGCACGCACUGUGCUACAUGUCGUCGUCGAUCGGCUACCUUUGUCCACGACACUACUAUAUAGCUGUCGCUGAGCUCUCGAGUCGAGGCUUGUUCCCAUUCUUCUUCCACAUCGCUACGGCUACGAGAUCCUCUCCCUAUAGUNNNNNNNNNNNNNNNNNNNNNNNNNNNNNNNNNNNNNNNNNNNNNNNNNNNNNNNNNNNNNNNNNNNNNNNNNNNNNNNNNNNNNNNNNNNNNNNNNNNNCGUCGCUGUGGUCGCCCCUCGUCCUCAACGCUGGUGGGAAUGGGUCGCGGGGAGUCUCCCCGAGCUCCUGGACAUGGCCGCCGGCGCUGCUGGACGGAGAAGGCGGGGUAGACGGCGGCGAGGGGUUCUCUCUCUCUCUCUGCUCCUACUCUACAGAGAACUUACCAGGGAGAGGGAGGAGAAAAGGAGGGAGGUGGCGGCGGCGCUGGAGGAAGGAGGGGGAACCCUAGGGAAGGAGGAAGGUUCCCUCCAGC
RNAcentral lists this long non-coding RNA (61276 nucleotides) under Hordeum vulgare. RNAcentral's name for it is "long non-coding RNA (HVUL_LNC005044)". The record is from RNAcentral. Lineage: Eukaryota; Viridiplantae; Streptophyta; Magnoliopsida; Poales; Poaceae.